Molecule: long non-coding RNA, 50366 nt
Filed under: Triticum aestivum (bread wheat)
Lineage: Eukaryota; Viridiplantae; Streptophyta; Magnoliopsida; Poales; Poaceae
Description: long non-coding RNA (TAES_LNC015129)
Rfam family: MIR1120/MIR1122 microRNA precursor family (bases 15576-15710)
Source: RNAcentral
UUUUCGCAAGAACCCAUAAAAACUGUAUUUUACACACCAGUACCUAGGAUAGAUAAUGAGACGUUGAACAUCUCCCAGCAGAAAAUUCAGCAUGUACAGGAAUCCAUUCAAUAGCUUUUCCUCAAUAUAUAUAUUUUUGACAAAAAGGGAUCGCUCUCGGAUUUCAUUUAUCCGAAACCAAGUGCCUUUUUACAACAACUCAUAAUUUUUUUAUCAACAUAUACACUCUAUGCUGCCCCAUUAAGAUAGUGAAAGUCUGGCCAUGAUCAUGAGCACUUCACUUGCAUCCACCCAGACUCAAAACUCUGUCUUUACACCCUCUGCAUCUCGCCUCAGAUCACUGCACACGCACGUACAUUGUUUGCAUGUUCUUUUAUGCCUCUGAAGUUACCCGCUCACUCACUCACUCAGCAACAACAAAAAGAACACCACGUUAUGGAACAGCGACCAUGUUCCUCAUCAAAGGCGACACCCCUGCUCCCUGCACUUCAUCUGACCUUCUCCCCUCCAGCUUGGUGACCUUCUUUUUUGGUGCAUAAACGCAAACACUUGUGGUGCACACGAGUUGGCUACAAGAUCUGAAACUUUUUUCAGUUCGUGUGCACACACACACCUUACUCACUCACCAUCAUCACACACCAAGAGCCAAGACCCAACACAAAGCUGCACACAAACACACCCAGCGAUAGUAGGCUACAGCACCGCGGAGCCACCGUCAUUAGCGUCCACACGCCAUGGGCAGAGGAGGUGGGCUCGACGGCUACCCAAGCAAGCAGCGGGGGAGGAGGAUGUCGACCCCGGACCAACUCGCUGUAGGCCUUCGCGGCGGCUGGGGCAACCGUGAUCUAGAUCAGCGGCGUGGAUGAGCAGGAACACCGCUGAGGUAGGACGGACGACACUUGGGCGUGUCACUGAGAGCUCGGGCAGAGGCGACGACGCUGGAGGGAUCAGCGGUGGGUUGCGGGAGAGGUCUUUCGCGGCGACCAGCUGCAGGUCGUUGACUCCUACUGCUGAAGUUCAACCGCUUCUCCAGCUGCAGGAUAGUGUCCAAUCUGCGAUAGUGCUCGUGGUUGCCGGCGAGUGAAGGGCGGUGAAGGAUCCUCGUCGGAUCCGGGGACCCCGAGGUGCUCCAGCAGGUGGUGUGGCGCGUCAUCGGUUGGGGUCGGUGCUGUAGUGGCGUCGGCGGCAGGGGCGUGACUGCGGCUGCGUGGCGGUGGCCGCGUCACCGGCUGGGGUCUCGGCGGCGGGAUGGGUGCUCCCACGGUGUUGACGGGGGAGGAAGGAGGAGAUCGGUCAAAGGGAAGGGCGGGCAUGGUGGCGCCCGGCUUGCCGGUGGGGCGGGAGUGGAUGGAGCGGGGGUGGUGACUUGCCAGAAGGAGGCGUGGGCGGCGACGCCGGGUGGAGGCGGGGUCGGGGAGAGGUGGGCAUCGCUAGGACUGGGGGAGAUCGGGAGGUGGGCAUUGCUGGGACUGGGGGAGAUCAGGAGGUUNNNNNNNNNNNNNNNNNNNNNNNNNNNNNNNNNNNNNNNNNNNNNNNNNNNNNNNNNNNNNNNNNNNNNNNNNNNNNNNNNNNNNNNNNNNNNNNNNNNNNNNNNNNNNNNNNNNNNNNNNNNNNNNNNNNNNNNNNNNNNNNNNNNNNNNNNNNNNNNNNNNNNNNNNNNNNNNNNNNNNNNNNNNNNNNNNNNNNNNNNNNNNNNNNNNNNNNNNNNNNNNNNNNNNNNNNNNNNNNNNNNNNNNNNNNNCCCGUAAUUUUACAUUUCGUAAGUUUAGUAUUAUUUCCGACGAAAAAAGAGACCAUAAGAAAAUAUAUAAUCGUUGUAAAAAAUAUUUUAUGUUAUGUAAAAUUACAAACGUAAAAACAUAGUGUAAAAUACACAUAAACUGCAAAUUUUCUUGUCUUAUGACCUAUAUUUUUAUUUUCUUAUGCCAAAUUUUACGUAGUGAAUCAAUAGGAAUGUAACUAUUUAAAUUACAAACGUAAUUUAAUUAUGAAAUGAUCGUAAGAUUACCUCAGGUGAAGAAUAAUUUAUUCUGCACCCUGGGUGAUGAAUAGUAACAGUAUAUAUAUAUAUGGUAAUCCUCGGAACUAUUCCGGUGUCCGAAUAUAGUCAUCUAAUAUAUCAAUCUUUAUGUCUUGACCAUUUCGAGACUCCUCGUCUUGUCCGUGAUCACAUCCGGGACUACGAACAACCUUCGGUACUUCGAAUCACAUAAAGUCAUAAUACCGAUCGUCAUCGAACGUUACGUGUGCGGACCCUAUGGGUUCGAGAAGUAUAUAGACAUGACCGAAACUCAUCUCCGGUCAAUAACCAAUAGCAGAACCUAGAUGCUCAUAUUGGUUCCUACAUAUUCUACAAAGAUCUUUGUCAGUUAAACCGCAUAAGAACAUACGUUGUUCCCUUUGUCAUCGGUAUGUUACUUUCCCGAGAUUCGAUCGUCGGUAUCAUCAUACCUAGUUCAAUAUCAUUACCGACAAGUCUCUUUACUCGUUCCAUAAUGCAACAUCCCGCAACUAACUCAUUAGUCACAUUGCUUGUAAGGCUUAUAGUGAUGUGCAUUACCGAGAGGGCCCAGAGAUACCUCUCCCACAAUCGGAGUGACAAAUCCUAAUCUCGAUCUAUGCCAACUCAGCAAACACCAUCGGAGACACCUGUAGAGCAUCUUUAUAAUCACCCAGUUACGCUGUGAUGUUUGAUAGCACACUAAGUGUUCCUCUAGUAUUCAGGAGUUGCAUAAUCUCAUAGUCACAGGAACAUGUAUAAGUUAUGGAGAAAGCAAUAGCAAUAAACUAAACUAUCAUAACUAGUCGCCAACCCGUGCGUCGCACGGGCUAGUUAAUCAAUAUUGCAUUCUAAUCUAUAUUAUGAUCGCAUAGCAGUGUGUCUUAUAAAAUAACAUAUUAAUGACCCAUGUACUCAAACCUCAAAGAGUUGAAACCUGAGGAUUUGUUGAAGAGUGUAUUUUGAUAAAUGUGUUAGUUGGAUGCAACCACAAUAAGUAAUGAAAUGACACCUAAAACAGCUCGCGGUAAGAUAACAUGAUAUAAUUUGCUAAAUAUAAGGAAAUACGUUUAUAUUAUUAUUUGUCACAUUUCAGUAGUAUGCAAAGUCACCUAAUUAUUUCCUACUGGCUUAGACCUACUCAUAUGCCGAACUUAGCAAACCUUAUGUUUCCUUGGUGGGCCAAAAUACAAAUUAUAAUUAGAAAAUUUCAUUAGUGGGUGAGCAUUGUCCUUGUACAACUAUUGAUAACUAAAGGCAAGCAAUUUUCAAUGACCAGCGCUCAAAUGAGACUAUUCUUCAUCUAGUAUAGAGACAAUGUAGAAUUACUAAAACACAUAAUAUUAAAUUUACAUCUAACGUUAAAUACGAAGAUACAGCUAAUCAAGCAUCGAUCCUCACCUUCUAUUGUGUUCAUCUUUGGCCACUACAUCUUGCAAGAAACAACUUUGUGUGCGAAAUCACCCAUAUAUGCUGAAGGGGGAGCGAGAAAUUAUAAUGAAACAUUGCAGAGACGUGGAUUUGUAGCACAUAUGGGUACACUCUCAAUAGAAAGUAGAAGUGGAAAUUAAGGAGAAAACAUAUGGACGGCCUGAACAACCUCAACACCGCUCUAAUUAAGUCUAUAAUGCAUCUCCAUAUGCUUAGAAUUGUCUAAUGUAAAGUAUCUAAUUAUGUGUCUAUACAUACCUACAGUUGUACACAUUGCCCUUUCGUCUUGACCCGUGUACGCAUCACAAUGCUGCAGGUGUUUUUUUGUGAAAUUACCUUGCUGCAGGUGUUGAUUGGUUGACGCUGGCGAUUCCGGCGAAUGUCCAACCAUAGAUCAUUGGUUGAAUUUUAACUGACAAACCACGCAUAUAUAUACUGGAAAGAGAGAAUGUGAACAAAUUGAAUAAUCUAUAUGAAAAGGGAUGUGUGAGAUUUCCUUAUGGAUUACAAUCAUAGGCAAGCAUUUUCCAAAGGCCAACUCAAAUCGGAGAAAUUAUUCAUUCUAUUCUUUGCCAAAACACAGAGACAAAGACAAAGAAUAUUAAAUUUCAUAUGUAACGUUAAAUACGAACACAUACCUCAUCAAGCAUAAAUCCUCACCAGGUUGUGUAUUCAUCCUUGGCCACGACAUAGUGCAAGCAAAAAAUUUGUGUGCUUAGAAAUAACACAGCCCUGAUGAAGGCUAACACAUCUCCAUAUGCUUAGAAAUUCCUAAUGUAAAUCUACUAAUUAUGUGUCUUUACAGUACCUGCAGUUGGACACAUUGGCCUGAAGUCGACCCGUGUAUGCACGACGCUGCUGUAGGCGUUGAUUGAUCAAUGCUGGUGACUUCGACGAACAUCCAACCAUAGAUCAAUUGCUAAAUUUUUGUCUGACAUACCAUGCAUAUAUACUGGAAAGAGAGAAUGUGAAAAUAAUAAUAUGAAAAGGAUGUGUGAGAUUUCCUUAUGAAGAAGACAACAAAGAGACCAAAAAAAGGACAAUGGAUUGGAAGUACUCGAUAACAAUUGAUAUAACAAAAGUGCUUGAUAAUAUGAUAUAUGCUCCACAUGUUGUCAAAGAGAUGAAGAUCAACAGAUUGAUUUGUUAAUUCAUCAACAUCAGUAGGUAUUCUACUUGAGACGCUCAUUAUCAGGCACAAUGAGCUGGGCGACAAACCCACACAAAACUGCAUGAAGGUAUAGCCAAUAAGAGAAAAUACAUGGACACGGCUUGAACAACCUCAACACAGCUCUGAUUAAGGUUAACGCAUGUCCAUAUGCUUAGACUUGACUAAUGUAAAACAUGAUAGUUGUGUGUAUUUACAUACCUACUGUUCGACACAUUGCCUUGAUUCUUGACCGGUGUACGCAUGACGCUGCUGCAUGCAUCGAUUGAUCCACACUGGUCACUCCGGUGAACAUCCAACUAUAGAUCAUUUGUUUACUUUUUGACUGACAAACUAUGCGUAUAUACUGGAAAGAGAGAAUGUGAACAAAUUUAAUAGUUCAUAUCAAAAGGGAUGUGUGAGAUUUCCUUAUGGACUACAUCGAUGAUGGACACAUGUGGCAAAAACUUACUUCCAUGAGGUGCCCGGAUGAGUGCCCCGGAUUUUCCUCUUGUAUAAAUUGCUCUUUAUUUCUUCAUUAUAGGAAGAACUAUAACAGGGCUUGCCGAAAAAAGCGGUGCUGCUGUUGCUAGCUUCUGUUUUCUUCCUGUCUUCCAAAUUGAACUACAAAGGUAUCAUGCGAUUGUCUAUAAACAGUGGGAUUAACCAAAUUCCUCCAAGAGGUUAGGGAGAACGUCCAGGCUAUAUAAAACUACAGAAUUAGCACCAUGCAGGUUAUCAAUCAGUUGCUACAGAGUUCGAGUGCAGGGAAUAAGUUCUGAAAUAAAGACAACAAAUUCUCGUUGUUAAAUUAAGCAUCAUCCAGCACAUCUUGAACAUUAGUAAAGACAUAUAUUUUAUCAAGCAAAUCGUAAUCCAAUACUGCGAAGGCAUGGAUGCAGUGCAAACCAGUUGAUAGUUGUUCAUCGCAUGUGGGUGGAUUCCUCGCCGGAAUACGGCUGGCCACCGGCAUCGGGCUGUUUACUGCAACUUCUCUGUACAAUCUGUUUGUAAGCGGAAAUCAUAAUCCCAGCCACAUAAAGGCAUGGAUGUUGUGCAAACCUGAUACAUGUUCAUCGUGUUUGGUUAGAAUCCACGCCGGAAUUGGCUGGCCUCCAGCGCUGGGCCGUUUACUCGUCCUUCUCUGUAUGAUCCAUAGAUUGGCAAUUAAGAGGGGCUGGAUGGAGCUGCAGGGCAAAUAGGGCAACGCGAGUCUGUGAGGAUACCGUGAUGGCAUAGGAGAAGAGUGGAUCAACCGCUCGAGCUUGCCGAGACUAACCUGCUACAGAUGGCGCCUGACCAAAACUGAAAGGCAGGCAUGGCGGCGCCAUGAGGAUGGCAAGCCGGCAGCCUCGCUGGGCCUUUUCAUUAGCUGAUCAAUUGGGAUUAUUCAUCUCUGGAGUUUUUUAGGCAUGGUUAUAUAUUCAGAAGAGAUGACGUGAAGACAUCAGCCUCUCCCUGGGCUUCUUUUUUGAAUUCUCGGUGGUCCAUUGAGAUGAAACGGAUAAAUAAAAAUUACCUUUAUUUGUUACGAUAACACAUGACAUGCAAACAAUGUGAUUGCAUAGGCGAAUAACUUUUGUACCUGACGUGCAAAUAAACUGAUGGCAUGGGUGGGUAAUUUUUAACUAAUUAUUUUAUGGGCUAAUCUCAACCGUAAUAACUCGGCCCCACCAGAUUAACGACUCCUAAUUACUGAUUAACAUGGGAAUUUCUGGGAAGUGCAUAAUUAGUAUAGGUAUAGAUGCUAAGCUAAUGGAUGGGUCAAGUCAAUCACAUCAUUCUCUAAUGAUGUCAUCCCAUUCAUAAAAUGACAACUCAUGUCUAUGGCUAGGAAACUUAACCAUCUUUGGUUAACGAGCUAGUCAAGUGUAGGCAUACUAGUGACACUCUGUUUGUCUAUGUAUUCACACAUGUACUAAGUUUCCGGUUAAUACAAUUCUAGCAUGAAUAAUAAACAUUUAUCAUGGUAUAAGGAAGUAUAAAUAACAACUUUAUUAUUGCCUCUAGGGCAUAUUUCCUUCAGUAACAUGACCUCCAGAAUAGGAUUACCGUACCACUCUGGUCAGAAGUUUCAUGACCAGAAGUUUCAUGAACAGGAUGAACUACGAGGUUCAGUAGUAACUUGAUCAGAAGUUUCAUGGUCAUCAUCAUUAGCUUCCUCACUAAUUGGUGUAGGAAUUACUACAAAAAAAGACACAUCCGUGACAUUUUGGGCCGAACGAAUUUUUUUUUCUGUCAUACAUAUGAUACUUCUAUGACGAUAAUUGUGACAAAACCCGGUAUCAUCAUAGAUGUGGUGGGCUCCUACUUCUAUGACAAAAAAUCAUGACAGAAAAUGGGCUUUUCGUCCUGGGUGGGCCGGAGAUGCAGCUGCAUGACAUUCUUUGGGCCGUCCAUGACGGAAAAAACCGUGGUAGAAGCGUGGGGGAGGAAAAUUUCGGGGAGUUCCCGGUUACGGUGGGAGGUCGGGGGCCGAGUGAUGCGCGUUUCUCUCGUACACGUACGCACGUGUGUGCGAGGCGUUGGCUCUAACUGAACCCGAGCGAGGCGUUGGGCUCUAACUGAACCUGAGUGAUUGCGCUGCAGGCUAGAUGUUACUGAACCCGAGCGAUCGAUCGAUGGAUGUUAACUGAACCCGAUCGAGCGAUUCCUUCGCUACUGCUGCUAACUGAAGCCGAUCGAUGAUGCCUCUGGGAUGNNNNNNNNNNNNNNNNNNNNNNNNNNNNNNNNNNNNNNNNNNNNNNNNNNNNNNNNNNNNNNNNNNNNNNNNNNNNNNNNNNNNNNNNNNNNNNNNNNNNNNNNNNNNNNNNNNNNNNNNNNNNNNNNNNNNNNNNNNNNNNNNNNNNNNNNNNNNNNNNNNNNNNNNNNNNNNNNNNNNNNNNNNNNNNNNNNNNNNNNNNNNNNNNNNNNNNNNNNNNGAGUUGCCUCUGGAUGAACAAGAUCCCGUGGUAUGGUGGAGGGCUGGAUGAACAGUAGACGAUGGAGGGGUGCCCGUGGAGGGGUGGUUGAAUAGGACCCCAUGGUGUGGAGGGCUGGAUGAAUAGUAGACGGUGGAGGGGUGCCCGUGGAGGGGUGGUUGAACAGUAGCUGGUGGAGUAGUGCGCGAUGGAGGUUGGAUGAACAGGAGCCCGUGGAGGCUGGAGGAGGUUGACGGUAGCCCAUGGAGGCUGGAGGAGGUCCACGGUGGAGAUGAAUAGUAUCCCGUGGAGUCCCGUUUUGCGGUAUGCCACACCCCUCCCGAUGAACAGGACCCCUGUUUCGAACGUAGCGCUCCAACACGAGUCUGUUUUGUCCGUUUUGUGGUAUGCCACAUCCCUCCCGAUCAACAGGACCCCUGUUUCAACCGUAGGAGGUCCGUUUCCUCCGUUUUGCGGUACGCCAGACCCCUCCCUAUCAACAGGACCCCGUUCCGAACGUAGGAGGACUGUUUCCUCCGUUGUGCGGUACGCCAGGCCUCGUUUCCAUCGCCUGUUCUGUCCAAGCCCUCCCAAUGAACACGGCCACGCAUUCCGUUAUGACCCAGCCAGUUGGUUCCCACGCGUUCAGUUGCCUCCCGAUGAACACGAUGCAUUCCGUUGCCUCCCCAUGAACACGAAGACUACGCUGUUUCUCCGUUCUGACCCAGCCAUGUACAUGAGCCCUGGCCGUACGUAUGCACGAGUAGGCGUUCGAGACCCUGCCCAUACAUACGUACGUGGCUGUAUUUUCUUUCUUGCACACUGGCCGUUGUACGUACGUGUACAUGCUAUGUGCGCGCCUCUACUACGACACAUACGCGCCUCUACUAUGACACGUGCGGGCCUCUACAUCGACCAAUAUAUAUGUACGUACAUGUUCGCGACCAGAAUGACAACGCUACGUAUGCUUCGACCUGGUGGGUCCUAACUGUCAGGCACUUCCUUGUGUGCGAAGAUGUAGCUGGUGGGUCCUAGCAGUCAGGGGGUGAAUCGUUUUGUUUUUUUGCUCGGACGCACUUCCUUGCGUGCGAAGAUGUAGCUGCUGGGUCCCAGCAGUCAGGGGGAAUCGUUUUUUUUACCGAGACGCACUUCCUUUCAUGCGAAGAUGUAUCUGGUGGGUCCCAGCAGUCAGGGGGCGAAUCAUUUUUUUUUCGCACGCACUUCCUUGCGUGCGAAGAUGUAGCUGGUGGGUCCUAGCAGUUAGGGGGUGAAUCGUUUUUUUGGACGCACUUCCUUUUGUGCAAAGAUGUAGCUGAUGGGUCCCAUCAGUCAAGGGGAAACGUUUUUUUUCACAAAAUACGGUGGCCCGUCCGGUGGGUCCCUGCUGUCAGGUGGAGGAAUAAUUAUUUUGAGCGUAAUAAGGAGGCACUUCUUUGCUGCGGCCAUGGACCCAGCUGUCAGCCUCUCCACGUACAGUCUACGUCCGAUGGAAGCCAUUCCUUGACCACGUUGACCACGCCGCGCCGAGAGCACCAGGGCUGUGGAUGCCGGUGAGGCCUAGGAAGGGGACGGCGCGGAGCCGGGGAAGACGCGACAGUGGAUGCCCACGAGUAGAGGAGAAUGAGGGUUCACUUCUUCGGCUGCAGUGUGAGGCUGCCGUCGCCGUAGAAUAACAGGGGUGUGGGUGCUUAGAGGGAUGGCCUGGCAUGAGGUGGGAGUAGUAGGGGCGGUGAGGCCUCCACGGCAUCACAGCCGGCCACGGGCGGCAGGAGCAGGCGGCACGACUGGCGCUGCUUUGGAUGGCUGGAGCAAGAAGAGCAGAGGUUGAAGAAGCACUACGGCUGUUGGAUGGACAUCGUACGAUCACCGGAGCUAGAAUCGUUCAUAUAUUGACUAAAGUUGACAAAGGCCUCCGUCCCAGUCAACUUAGUAGGCCCACAAGUCAGCCUCCCACCAAGGUGGGUCCCUGGUAGCAGGGGGUAUUCAUUUUUUUGUGCGUAAUAAGGAGGAACUUCCGGUGGGUCCGAGCUGACAGCGGGGGGAACAUUUUUUUCGCGGAAUACGGUGGCCCGUCCUAUGGGUCCCAGCAGUCAGGGGAAACAUUUUUUCGCGAAAUACUGGUGGCCCGUCCGGUGGGUCCCUACUGUCAGGUGGAGGAAUAAUUAUUUUCCGCGUAAUAAGGAGGCACUUCCUUGCGGCUGCCGUGGACCCAGCUGUCAGCCUCUCCACGUACGGUACUCUUCCGAUGGAAGUCUGUCGUUGACCACAUUGACCACGGUGCGCCGAGAGCACCACGACGGUGGACGAAGGCGAGGCCUAGGAAGGGGACGACGCGGAGCCGGGGAAGAUGCGGCAGCGGAAGCCCACGCGGAGAGGAGUAUGAGGGUUCACCGGUUCGGCUGCGGUGUGAGGCUGCCGUCGCUGCAGAAUAACAGGGGUUGUGGGUGAGUACAGGGAUGCCCUGGCCAGCGGUGGGAGUAGUAGGGGGUGCUGAGGCCUACGCGGCAGCACAGCCCGCCACGGGAGGCGGGAGUAGGCGGUCCCGCCGACACUGCUUUGGCGGCUGGAGUAAGAAGAUCAGAGAUUGAAGAAACACGACGGCCGUUGGAUUGACAUCCAACGGUUACGUCUUCUAGAAUCAUUUGUUGACGUAUAUAAUAACUAAAAAAAUCUAGCAUACGUGUCAACUAAACAGGCCCACAAGUUAGACCACUCCCUCUUUUUUUAAUAAUUUAUAUAUAGCUCAUGGCAACUUCUUAUGCAAUUUAUUGCAGUCGUUUUUUGGUUGGCCAGGGCCAAUUUUGCAUAUUUUUGUGGGUUCCAAACUAUUUUUAAUACCGAAAUGUCGAGCCAGAUUUAAAGUACUUUGAAGAUAUAUUUAAAUUAGGUUAAUGCCCAGUGAAAUAGGAAUUUGAAAAUGUGAAAAAAUUCAGAAAUUAUAAAGUAAUUGCCAAUUUGUAAUCUGUUUUUAUAUUUACAACCCAUUUCAUAUUACUUUAAAGAGUUGCAGGCAUCUUGAAAGAGUUACAGCCCAUCAGGGCAUAGAAAAAUAAUUAGCCUGGAUUGGGUAUUCUUCAGAAAAAAUAAACUGGGCUCAUUUUCACAAAUAAAAAAAUAGCUGGGCUGGUCACAUGGUGAACAUAAAAUAUAAGCCUGGGCUAGACGAGCCACAGCCUAGUUCAAACCCUACUCCAUCUCAACAAGACCAAACAAAAAAAUAUUGCUCGAGUAGCUACGUCCCAGGUGUCAGCCGAUCUUGUGCUGUUCUCUUGUCUAUUGACUAUAUACGCUCACAAUGUCGUGGGUCCCAGAUGUCAAGAAAACAGUAGGAGGAAGCAUUUUAUUUUUCCAUACGCUGACGUGGUGGGCCCCUACUGUCAUCCUCUUCACAUACUUCUGCCGAUUCCUGUUGUUUGUUGACCAUGCUGACAAUGCGAGAGGGCGGCGCCACGGCGAGCGCACCAAAGCACGCGGAGGACGUCGGCGUUAAUGAUUUUGGAGACGGUGGGGCGGCGAUGCGUGAGCUGAGGCGUAGCCAGCCGUGGGAGGCAGAAGCAGGCGACCCCGCCGGCGCUGGUUUGGUUUUGGCGGCUGGAGGAAGACAGGACUGAAGAAACAUGACAGACUGUAAAAGCAGCAGGAGUACUUAACAACCUUAACUGAAACCUGCAGGGGCACUUAACAACCAAAGCUAAAAGUAGUAUGAGUACUUAUACAAGUUCAACCAUACAAAGCACACCGCGAACAGUGCUACUUUGCCUAUAGUUAACCAAGGGUGAGGCCGCCAAGCCCCAGGACAAGGCCCAGGCGCCACCCCGCGCAUCCACAACCUUCUGAAAGCGGCUUCAUCUCGCAACAUGGUCAAUAAACAGGAUAUUCGCUUUAGAGCCAUGGAAAUGCAUGAACAUAAUCUUCUAUCCUAUUCUCCAAGAUGGACGGGCCUUCAUUAUUUGAGACCACCCAUGAAUAAGUAUCUUUUCACCUCCAAUGGGAAUUGAGUAGGUCGACAUAAACAUCAUGUUGUGACCAAGCACAAGUCUGACCCUACCAUGGUCAGGCAUCUGUAUAGGAACAAUAGAACUCGACAGUUCCUGUUUCAAGAAGAUCACAGCUGUAAAACUGUGUAUAAGCAAUAGUUUAUGAACAACAUAUAUAACAGAAAACAGCUCGUACCAUAAGUUUCUCGACACAGUUGGACCUGUUCAACGAGCGAAGCAGUGGCACACAUAUCCCACGUGGCCUUCCACCAUUGAAACGCCCCACAAGGACCUCAAGACGAUCAAUAAAGUGUAGGAACUUGUGGAUGUUGAUCCAGUGAACUUCAGUGCCAUUAGUAACAGCCGAGUUAUUACAGAGUAACAAACGAGCAGACUGCUUAACUCUGAAAAAAACCUACAUGUGCCAUCAAUUAUAAGAAAAUGUUAGUUAGAAGUAGCAUCUUCGUGAGAGAUUCGUUGCUACUUCUAAAGUUAAAUUGUGAUUAGUUAGACAGAAUAGGUGGAUUAAGAAGUAAUCGAGGCAACAAGCAAGAACCAGAUACAAAACUAACAUGGAUGAACAAUUGGAACGACGUCGGGGUGGAAGAUCGUAGUGAAGAUGAGACCAGGUUCUGCUAUUUCCAUCAACAUUCAUGCGCCAACUUUCAGUCCGUAACACUUGAGAAAGUUUAUCCAAGUUCGGCCAUAAAAAAGCAGCGAUCUUCUUGGUUCAUGAACCCAACUCGGAACUUAUAUCCAUGGCUUGUCUUCACUGUGACCAUUAAACUAGUGUAUUCAGUUAUGGCAAGGCCGAGCAUCUUGAGUACAUGUGUUCUGGCAGAGCAAAUACUACACUGCAGGAAAAAUAAUAUGAGAAAACAGCAUGUUCAAAAAAACCCCACCCUCCCGGAUAGAAAAGAGGAUUCUAGGAACAUGCUGUGCGCGUUUCAAAAUGUUGUGUUAGGAUGAGAAGGAACAAGUGUGGUGUCUCGCCGAGGGCUCAGAAACCUGUAUGGUACUCGCACUUUGGGCACUAGAAAUGAAACACACUAGAUUCAGUAGGAAGAAAAAUGCAUCAACAAUGGUGGUUGUCAUCCUAGGAUUACCUAUGACCAAGGGACUUGGAUUUAUCGAGGAUGGAUGAAGAAUUCAUACCUGGUUCUCCAUGAGAAAACCCUAUGCAAUCGCCAAGAGGGGGUUUUCUCUGAACAAGCAGACGAGGGAGAAGGGGAUUCAGGCCCAGUGAAAUAUUGCCGCUUCGUCCGUCCAGCUUACUACUAAAGCUGGAAGGGGGGUUGUGAUUUGACGGCUCAUUAGGCAUUACUGCGGUGCUACGACCGGGGUGUGUCUACUGUGAAGUCGUGCACUCUAAUUUGUGCAUAUGGCAUGUGGACCCCGUUGCCGGUUGCCCCACAUAUCUGCGAAAGGAAGUAAAAAGAUAGGAGUAACUAGUUACACAUAAAUAUAUUUUUUGACAGAGAGAUACUCCCUCUAUAAAGAAAUAUACAAAUAUUUUAUAUAACAGGCUCACCUUGCCAAGAAAUAUACUCCCUCUACAACGCACGGGCAUUAUGGGGGUUCAACUUUUUUUAUGGGGUUCAGCUGAGAAUAUAAUACUCAGAUAGGCUCACAGUUUUGUACUUUGGGUCGUAGGCUGACCCUGCAUGUUUGGGGGCCCAUGUGUUCUACCUCAGCGCUUUUCAUAUUGCAAGCGAUCGGUACGGCGCUGGUUUUAGAUGCUGUCGCAAGGCGAAUACACGAAAUUGAAUAAAGCACGGCAGCUGUUGGAAUGAAAUCGAACGACAGUUCCUAACCAGCAAUCAGAGUUGCAAUUCUAUCAACGAUAUACCAUGUGAUAAAUAAUGCUGUCGUACUACUUAUACACACAGGACAAUUGUUUCACCAUGCCAGAUUAUUACAUCAAAAUCUCUCGGAGGAUAGAUCAGUUCAGCAGUUGCGUGCUGCUACUGAAGAAUUUCAAAGUUGAUUUGGACCAGCUCUCCUUGCCGAGAAAAUUUGAUUUUGACAUCAUCCCCUACCGCAAGAUAUGAUUUAGAUUUGAACCUUGACCAUCCUUUAGCAUCAAUCAUCAUGCGACCAUCCUUUGUACUUACGGUAUAUUGAGCAGGUUCAUUCACACCAAGACUGCGCAUGGUAAGAGAAACUUGGCCGCGAUCGCCCGGAUUGUUUAACGACUCCCUCAUUGCUCUAGGAAUUCUAUGUUUGCAAACAAGAAGACAUACCCAAACAGUUAGAUCAACACAGUGAAUCAUGUGAAACAACAUGGAAAGAAAAAAGAACGAAGCACUUGGGCGGCCAAUGCUUACCAAGAAGGUGGACAUGUCGGUUUUUGUAAGGACUUUGGUAUAUGAAGUGCGAACUGCAGCCGAGUCUGUUGCCGGGGAAACUGCACGGGCCAGAGCAGAUGCAAGUGCAAGUGUUGGUGUAGGUGCCGAAGCCGCCGCUGCUGCCGGAGAUGGUGCUCCUUGUAGAGCUGGUGCCGGUGUCGGAGUAGGUGCCGGUGUCGACGCCCGAUCCUCCGGUAGAUCAGACUGAUCUGCUGACGCGGUCGGUGCCCAAUCCUCAGCUGGAUCAGACUAAGCUGCUGCCGCUGUCAGUGCUAGAGCAACUGCCGGUGCUCGAUCUGUGUGAGACAGUGGCGAUCAUGUCUGGUCUGCUAUGAUCAGCUUUCUAACUUGACUAGGAUCCGUGACCGUGAUACAAUUUUUUUCUUCAUUUCUUUUAUACGCGAGAAGGACUAAUUGUGGUGUUUUUGUUAAACGAAACUGCAGUUCAUCAUAGGGAUUUAGCUUGUACUUAGACAACAGACUGAUCCAAUUUUUUCCAGUAAUAUAAGUGAUGGACAGUGCCUUCGUUACUGACACGACAUAAGAAGUGAAACCUACAAAAAUAGCCAUCGUAGAGCAAACCAAACGGUUUAUUCUGUGAUGAAUGUCACAUGGAAAAACCUGCAUCGUAAAAUUGUAGGAAAAGAAAGAAACCAUGAAAUUAAAUCAAUAAGAUUUAGACAGUAAAUCAAUAAGAUUUACUUGAUGUUACACGAUUGAAUCCUUACCAGGAAAUCACUAUGUUGAAGUACUAAACAGAAGAUUGAUCGUCCAACUACGCAUGGCAUGCAGGGGCCUCGCCUACUCCCACAAGCAGAGCAAUCCAAAGGUUGUGACAAAUCAUAUGGACCGAACAUCCAUGGGACCGGAAAUCCUAGUGGGUGCGAUAAACCCUGCAAUGCAUACAUAUAUUGGAGUGUAACCAUAAUUGAUAAAAUGUCCUCACAAAAAAUAUGAUCUGUAUACUUCAAAAUAUACAGACUGAAUUGAGUGGACAGACAUUAACAUAGACUAUUCUUAGGACUGACCCCACACCAAAAGCGGCAGUACUAAUAAAAAAUACAGGGUUCACAAACACAAAUCAAGUACUGAACAAUAGUACUUACUACAGACAAGCCAAGUUGCACUAACUAAACUCUGCAGACUAUUUCUUGCCUCCGACCUACGGGAUGAACCCCGCAUAACUGACUAGGCCAUGGACUUCGUGUGAGAUGUCUACAUGCACCAUCACCAUCUUGUCAACUUAGGAGAACCUAACAGAGUGCUCUUUCCACUCAUAAACAUGAUGAUGAAGACAUGUCGCACCAGAUUUUUUGGGAAGCUUUACAAGAACCACACCAUUCGUAUUCGAAGACACAGCUAGGAAAUUGUUCUGGUCAAGUACAGCCUCGAGAACAUGCCUGACAACAAUGCUACAGGAAAACACUAGUUCAGGACACGUGGCGACAAGGACACAACAGCUGGAUAGUUCAGCAGUAGAACUCAUCAUCAGGUCUUCCAGAUCACAUGGCAUGACUUUGAGAACUUCAUCUCCACCGCGGACCUGGUUCUAAUUCAAACAGAAACCAUAUUUUAUUACUACCUCCGUUCAGAAAUAUAAGAUGAUUUUCAAUAUUUUAGUCCAUGUAUGACUACAUAUACGCACAAAAAUGAGUGAACAAAGACACUAGAACAUGUCUUGAAAGGCAUGAGAGCAGAGGGAUUACAUGCAAUAUCCAUAACACAAGUUACUGAUGCAAAUACGCCCUCUUAAAAGGUAGCAUUGAUGUUCAUGAAGUACUCCCUCCGUCCCAAAAUUCUUGUCUUAGAUUUGUCUAGAUACGGAUGUAUCAAGUCACAUUUUAGUAUUAGAUACAUCCGUAUCUAGAUAAAUCUAAGACAAGAAAUUUGGGACAGAGGGAGUAGUUGAAAGUAGUCUAUAAGAAAUCAGUGUCAACCUCUCGCAUGUUUUGGUCAAAAGAGGAAUUUAGAACCGUCAUUUGGCACACUAAAAUCACAUGCAAGAUCACCUAGAAAGUUGUACUACCAUUACUAGUACUGCGCGUUAGAUGAAAAAACACGAUCAAGAUCGAGAAAAAGAUUGUCAACAAGAGACAUUACCUGGACUUGGUUAAUGAGGGAUCCUGGAGAGGGGGGCUUGGACAGGGCGAUGGCUUUGAGCUUGUCUGCGGUAGUCUCGACGGGGUGCUUGCGCUUCCUUGUACCAUGAGCCUCGACGGUUUUGGCCAGAGCCAUAGACAUCACAUUGGCCGGUGCUCCGGCGUCCAUCCAAGAGAGGAAGCUGAGAGAGAAGAGUGAAAGGAGGAACGAGAUGAGGGAGAAGCAAAGCGAGUUGGGGUUUUCUUCAAGAGAGGAAGCUGAGAGAGAAGAGUGAAAUGAUGGUUGCUUCGUCCGUCCAACUUACUGCUGGAAAGGAGGGGGUUUUGUGAUUUGACGGCUCAUUGGGCAUUACUGCGGCGGUUCGAUUGGGGUAGUCUACCGUCACUCUACUACGGAGUAAUUUAGUGCAUGGCUGGUGGACCCAAGUGCUGGCUGUCCCACACGUCGGUGAAAGUAAGUAAUUUAGUGCAUGGCUGGAGGAGGAUCCGCACGGUAGAGCGUGUCCACUAUUUUUCUGAAGAAAAAAAUGAUUACAACAAGUGUUUCCACUCUUACGCCAGAGGAGUGCGAAACACGGCAGCCACUUGAACAUACACAAUGCUCCUACUACUAGGCAUGUGCAGUGGUUCAUACGUUAGUACUACACAAUCUUGUUGCUAGUGUGGUAAGAUAUGACGAUAACAAAUGAUGUUGUGCGCAUGUCAACUACUCAUAUAUGUAACGUAGUACCGCUUUUUCGACUGUCCAGUCAAGAAUGAACGGUGAGGUCAAUGUUAACAGAACUAGGUCCACAGCGCACGGAGAGUACGGUGCUACAGUACUCCAUGAAACAUGAACCUUAUGAAGCACGAAUAGUGUUAGGCAGGGUGUAUGAAGGGUGCAUGGGAUGGGAGCAAAAGUUCCCUUCUCGACCCACUUUUGGGUGUUUGGCAGAGUGCAUGAAGGGUGCAUGAGUCCACACUAGUAGGUUGACAAAAAUACACGAAGAGUAAACAACUAUAUUGAGAUGAGAAUGCAACCAAACACACCCACACGCUUUGUGCUACAGUGACUGAUCUGCACCGUCUGAGUUUGAUCCAGCGGUCAUGUUGCACCGAGACAUGGACAUGCCCAUGCAGAGGGCUCCUAAACACCACCGAAGUCCCUCUGAUUCUCGAGGCGCACGAUGUUGGUGAUGCAGGGUGCAACCGCCCGCUCCCAGUCGACGGGAGCCAGGGUCAGGCGCCUCUCCUCGGAUUCCAUGAUCUGCUGCGCCGCCAUGGAACCAGGUAGAAGCAAUGGGGAGAGGAAGCAAAGGGGGCAAAACGGCUGAAAGGAAAUGCAAUCUAUGGGAAGGCGGAGGGAGCGGGGAAUCUUUUGGUUUUCACCAUGGUAAAACACCAGUCGACGACUUCUCACAUCAGGUAGUAGUGGGUUUUUACAGGUGGAGUUAUCGUGACUAAUUGCUGCCACGCCUGCUCCCAUCAAUCAAAAAAUUAAGAAUCCAACCGCGCCUGCUCUCGUCAAUCAAAGAAUUAAAAAUCCUUCCGUACUCAAACACCAGAGCAACGCCGCGGUGGAUAUUUAAAUUUACCUACUGGCAAGUAGAUAAAAAAAGGGGUGAAAAAACAAAUGUGGUAGCGGCCUAGCUAAUCGGUCGAACUAGCCCAACUAGCUAGCCACCGUGCUUCACUGAUGUACUCGACGGGAAAGGUGGUCUUUCGUGAUUUGACAACUCAUUUACUUGCUUCGGCGCUACGACCGAGGAGGUCCCAGAAAACACGCGGUAGGGCAUCCCACGCCAGGAAGAAUAUAUGCGUGCACCACCCGGGAGGACCACGAAACCGCGCGGUAGGGUGUGCCACGUCUCGGCAUGGAGGAAAAAUGUGCGUGUAAAAAUAUACUGUAUCAGACGUAGUACCUAUGGUUCGACCUCGGGACCCAGCCAGUCGGUCGAAAACACCCCACUAGCCACACAACUUCAUCAUGCGAAUGUGGCACGGAGGAUAGAUGUGGUUAGCUCCGUCUCGACCAGCCACAGCGUCUCUUGUUCUAGGCGAUUCUUCUAUUUUCCAAGCUUUUUUUAGUUGUAGUAACACCACGGCAAGCUAGCGCCGCUCUUCGUGUGUGCCCGUGCAAAGGUUAGACGAUGGAGAGAAGAGAGAUUGAGAUCAUAGACCUGGAACCCACGAGUAAGUGAGACAACGGUCAUGCACGUGUUGACGAGGCACUCCCUCUACUCUACUCAACGCAAGUACUGUAUAAAAUCAAGUUAUGGGACAAAGCCAACAACCGUUCGUUUUUUUAGGCUAUCGACUUACGCUUUGUAGUCCAGGUUGCCAGUUCAAAUCUCAUCUUUCAGAUUUGUUAGUUUUAGGUCCAAAUUUGGUUAAUGACAAGUGGGACCCCCGUGUGUUGUUCCGAUAUUUCAGUGUAGGAUGGUUUUUUUGAACAAACACUUUGCGCGGUUAGACAAGUAACAGCACGAGUUACACGUAUUUUGCAAGUUUACGAACAAAAAUGACAGCAGCAUAGAAUAUCACAUCCACCCCGCAGCUUAGAUACUAUGGUAAUACGAGUUUUUACACCGUUGGAAGUGAGAUCCAAUGGCUUGGGAGUAGUCUUUGUAAUUAUGCGCAAUUUCCACACUCUCCAAAGGUUUUUUUGCAAAUAAAACAUUCAUGCCUCGUGUGUGCCGCUGCAUCUUCGAUCCAACGGCUCCCCGGUGCUCAUAUUAGGUGCUCCCCAUAGCUUAAUUGCCUGCUACGGUGAUAUGAGCAUCUAGGUCGUCUGAUCAGUGAUCAGAUGGCACAUGCGUAGUAAUUGUACUUUCUGCGCAUUUGCCAAACUCUAUCAGCCAUAUAUUGCAAAAACAUUCAAACCUCCUACUGUGGGCCGUUAGAUCUCAGUGAACUCGUAUCACCAUAGAAUCUACGGUGCGGGAGCACCUCAUACUCUCCCGUGCAAGAAAACAUAAGGUGCUAUCGCAGCUUGGAUGCUACGGUGAUACGAGCUUGGAGGUCGUUUGAUCUAAGAUCCAAUGGCAUCUGAGCAGUCUUUGUGCUUGUAAGCAGUGGCCGAACUCUUUUGGGGCUUUUUAGCAAAAAACCAUUCGAACCACCGAGGAGGUGUUGGGUCACAAAUCCAACGCCUCCAAAGAGUUUGUAUCACCAAAGCAUCUAAGGUGUGGUAGCACAUGAUAUUCUUACAUACAUGAGAAUAUGAUGUCCUCCUUCAUCUUAGAUGCUACGGUGAUACGAGCUUCGAGGUCGUUGGAUAUGGGAUCAAAGGGCAUCUAAGUAGUUUUUGUACAAAUUGUGUGCAAUUCUCAAACUCAUCAAGGUUUCCUACAAAAAUAUUAAGACACAUCAUGUGAGCUGCUAUAUCUCAGAUCUACAAAAUCCAAUCAACUCGUAUCGGCAUAUAGCAUCUAAGGAAUGGGGGCACAUGAUAUUCUCCCGGGGAGGAGGGGUGGGGGUGCACAACCAAUCGGUGGUUGGGAGGGUGGGGACAAAUAUAAUCUAAACAACCCUAAACAGAGCUUCACAAUUUUAUCUAAGGUUGAGGGGUUGACCCGCGACAAUCAUACCUCCGCCUAAACACAACAUUUGCAUGUACUGUAGUACUAGACUUAAUAUUCAUGUUUCAAUUUCAUGUUCAUUUUAAAUAUUGAACUGAGGACCAUGGAUGGCUUACAUUUUACUCCCUUCGUUCCUAAAUAUUAGUCUUUUUAGAGGCUUCAAAUGGACUGGCACAUACAGAUGUAUAUAGACAUAUUUUAGAGUCUAGAUUCACUCAUUUUUCUCCGUAUGUAGUCACUUGUUGAACUCUCUAAACACUAGUGCAGAACCGGGCAAUAGCACCAUUUUGGUAACCGGCCCUAAAGUGUGGGCACUAAAGGUCCCCCCCCCCUUUAGUACCGGUUCAGCACGAACCGGUGCCAAAGGGCAACCACGUGGCACGAGCCAGCUCCGGGGGCAGGGAGCCCUUUAGUACCGGUUGGUGACACCAACCGGUAUUAAAAGGUUGGGGGGAUUGGGUUUAUGAUUUCUUUUUCAUUUAACUUUGUGUUUUCCAUUUAAUUCUUUUUCGUUUGCUGGUAUUUUACGAUGCUACAUAUUGUACACAUUAUGCAUAUAUAUAAAUAGAAUUUCUAGUAGAACCGAUCAUAUAUAUAUAUAUAUAUAUAUAUAUAUAUAUAUCAUCGAAUGUCUCACAACCACCAUUAAUUCACACAUAUAUACACACAUGUAUAUAUGUAUACAAUUAGGUAGCUAUAUACAAUUUCUCCUAAUUGGUGCCUUCGGAGCCAGUGGCAUUAGCCUAAUUGGUUGGUGCCUUCGGAGCACGAUGACAAUUGGAAGUGGUUCAUGGGGGCGGUAGCGGGUAAGAGUAUUCUCCUUUGGGAUCUAUGACCUAGUCGAGCAAAAAUCCCGCUAUUUCCUCUUGAAUUGCUUCUAUGCGGUCCUCUACUAGGAGCUGCUCCCGCUCCUCUUUGAACUGUUAAGAAGGAGAUCAAUAUGCAUAUUUAUUUGUUGUGUGACUAGAUAUCGAUAAUGGUGUAAAAAUUGUGAAUAGUGUUCUGACAAACGUACCCACUCCUGUCUUUGAGAUCUGCUCCUUUCGGACGACAUCAUGCGAAUGUUCUCGCAAACAUAGUAUGCACAUAGAUUAUUCCCCGGGGCCUACUUCAGGGCCUUUACGAGAAUGUAAUUUGAUCAGAUAAUAACUAAUCAAGCAUAAUAAUUAAAGAGAUGGCAGCUAGCUAGUACUACUUAAUUACUUACCUUGGGUCGAUACCAUUUCAGAUUUCGUUUCCAUUGGCCUGGAGUGACGCUGAUGAACUUUGCCCAAGCCCUGCCCGCCGACAAAGAAAAUGAAUAAAUGGGUUAUUAAAUAAUUGUUAUCAGGAAAUGACAAACUAAUUAAAUAGGCCGAGAUAUAGUUAAUAAUGAUUGAAAUUACCUAUUGACUAUCCCCUUCACGAUGGUGUAGUCACUAGCUUUUUUAAGUAGUGAGUCCAGUAUUUCAACUGUUCCUUCAUCAACUUUAAUGAUUAACAAGAUCCAGUGAAAUAUGCAUGCACACACGUUUGCAUGUCUUAAUUAAGCGGGCAUAUGUAAGCAAAAACAUGUAGCUAGCUAGUAGGCAAAAACAGAAUUUGUAGUACAAGACAGUGUGACUGACCGAAGUUGUAAGGAAGUAGUAUAUCUUCAUUGGUAUUGAGGCACUUGAAGAACUCUAGCAUGCUUUCCUCUACACUUUUUUCAUAAUAUGGAUCUAAUUUCCAUGUGUAUUCAUUAAUGGUAUUUGAGUCAAUGAACCCAAUGCCAUAGCGUCCACCUUUUUUCAUUUCAUAAAUCUUCAUCCUGCAUAAUACCACAUAAAAGAAUAUAGUGAGGAUAAUUACAGGUAAUGAUUGAUAAAAAUGAUCAAUACAGCUAGCUUGUGUCAGGAACCUGAUUCCAAGUCACAUCGAUCUAGCUGGUAACACCUCAUAUCACAUUGCGGCCUCACGCACGGUAUCCCCACGGGUGUCGCCUUACCAUGGCCCAGGACCGUUUGCGCCUUUUGGCUCAUGUAUAUGAUAGUGUCGCUAGCAUCCGUAUGACAGAGAAUCCGGGCCGACAUGGCUAGUCGUGAACACAAAGCGGCGCAGACCUAUGGAGACAGGCAUACAUGAAUCACAUCGAGCAUAUAGGUCAUUAGCGAGUGAAUCCGGGCUGUAGCACUGGGCUAACAGGACUCCGGGGAACCCGGGCUAUAGCAGGCUAGGCAGGACUCCGGAUGUCACCGCGUGACAUUUCCUCGAAGGGACAGACAUAGGAACGAAGUGAAACACAUGCCGGCCAGUCAAGUGUCCUGAGCAGUAGUGCUGGGCUAACAGGACUCCGGUGAACCGGGCUGUAGCAGACUACUAUGGCUCGAGGAACACUAGACUACAUUUCCCCAUAAGAAAGGCUGCGAAGGAUAAACAACUAGAUUGUCGGAUCCCACUCAUACCAAGCAUUUCAAUCAUACACACAAUAUGCCCGAUAUGAGUACAUACAACAUGGCAUCACAACAAAACUCCACAACUCAAGUACUUUAUUUAAAGGCUCCAGAGAGCCAUACAUAACAUGUUCAUAUAGAUAGGGGUCACAUGACCCGACACUCAAGUCAUACAAGCAUACAAGCACAUGCGGAAGCAAAUAGUCUGAGUACAGACACUAGAAAGCAAGAAGGCUUCUCGAAGCCUGUCUAUCUACAUAGGGCCCUCCAUGGCCAGGGUCACCACCUGGGUGGCGAGUUACUCAUUGACGUCGAGGUCUACAUAAAACCCAUCGGAGGGGGCGGUGUUGUCGUCUGAAAACAGUAAUUAAGCAAACAUGAGUACAAAGGUACUCAGCAAGUCUUACAUCAGAACCUACUAUACAUGCUCAUUCUCAAGGAGGUGGUGGGGUUAUUGCAGCAAGCCAGCUUUGACUCUUGGCUAAGCUAUCCUACAGAACUCCACUAGUAAAAUAGUUUUCGCACACGAGUCCACUACUCACCAACACAAUACUCCACCGGGGAUCCUUCCUCGUGAUCCUACGAGAGGGCCAUCCUCGGUACUCACACUUGUCUUGAGUCUUUUAGUAGUAUCCAUUAGCUUGUCUAUGAACUGUAUAGGCAACCAAGUAGUCCUUUAUCGCGGACGCGGCUAUUCGAAUAGUUUUAUACCCUGCAGGGGUGUACUUUGUCACACAUGUUUCCACCACUUAGCGUCUGCACACGACAAGUGCUCGGCAGACUUCAAGCAAAAGCCGACGUGGGUGUAGACCACGACCUGACUAACCUCACAAGUCUCUACUCCAGGUUUAUCGCCUAUUCAGGUUCCAUCCGCAAGGAGAUCCGGCCGGGGUGUCCUCAACGGCCCCAAACGAUGUGUGUAGGGUUCCUGAGACACCAAACGGGUGACUCGGUACACCGUGCCACGGUGUAUCUACCGCAUCAUAGCCCACCCCUAGGGUCAGCGCUACGCACGGCCGCCAACACAUAACCUACAAACACCAGAAACUAGUUGCAACUCCUGGACAGAGAACGAGAGGGGUCCGUAAGUCGAGCGGGGUCAUAUUUUAGGGCCCAAUGUGUGGUAGUAGCUGAAUCUUAAAUCACGCAUACAGAUCUCGGUUCUUAUGGGCGGUCUCAAUGAAACAACCCACCAUGUACUCCUACAUGGCCUCUCAUCGAUACCUUUACCAAAUCAUGUUCAACACUGUGACGCCCCCGAUUCAAUCGUACACUAAUCAUGCACGCAAACGUGUACGAUCAAGAUCAGGGACUCACGGGAAGAUAUCACAACACAACUCUAAAACAUAAAUAAGUCAUACAAGCAUCAUAAUACAAGCCAGGGGCCUCGAGGGCUCGAAUACAAGUGCUCGAUCAUAGACGAGUCAGCGGAAGCAACAAUAUCUGAGUACAGACAUAAGUUAAACAAGUUUGCCUUAAGAAGGCUAGCACAAACUGGGAUACAGAUCGAAAGAGGCGCAGGCCUCCUGCCUGGGAUCCUCCUAACUACUCCAGGUCAUCGUUAGCGGGCAGCACGUAGUAGUAGGCACCUCCGGUGUAGUAGGGGUCGUCGUCGACGGUAGCGUCUGGCUCCUGGACUCCAGCAUCUGGUUGCGACAACCAGAAAGAAAGGAAAGGGGAAAAAGGGGGGAGAAAGCAACCGUGAGUACUCAUCCAAAGUACUCGCAAGCAAGGAACUACACUACAUAUGCAUGGGUAUAUGUGUAAGGAGGCCAUAUCAGUGGACUGAACUGCAGAAUGCCAGAAUAAGAGGGGGAUAGCUAAUCCUGUCGAAGACUACGCUUCUGGCAGCCUCCGUCUUGCAUCAAGUAUAAGAGAGUAGAUUAAAGUCCUCCAAGUAGCAUCUCCAAGUAGCAUCUCCAAGUAGCAUCGCAUAGCAUAAUCCUACCCGGCGAUCCUCUCCUCGUCGCCCUGCGGAAAAGCGAUCACCGGGUUGUAUGUGGAACUUGGAAGGGUGUGUUUUAUUAAGUAUCCGGUUCUAGUUGUCAUAAGGUCAAGGUACAACUCCAAGUCGUCCUGUUACCGAAGAUCACGGCUAUUCGAAUAGAUUAACUUCCCUGCAGGGGUGCACCACAUAGCCCAACACGCUCGAUCCCAUUUGGCCGGACACACUUUCCUGGGUCAUGCCUGGCCUCGGAAGAUCAACACGUCGCAGCCCCACCUAGGCAAAACAGAGAGGCCAGCACGCCGGUCUAAACCUAAGCGCACAGGGGUCUGGGCCCAUCGCCCAUAGCACACCUGCACGUUGCGUACGCGGCCGAAAGCGGAACUAGCCCCCUUAAUACAAGAGCAGGCUUACGUUCCAAUCCGGCGCGCGCCGCUCCGUCGCUGACGUCUGAAGUGCUUCGGCUGAUACCACGACGUCGGGAUACCCAUAACUACUCCCACGUAGAUGGUUAGUGCGUGUAGGCUCGUAGCCAGACUCAGAUCAAAUACCAAGAUCUCGUUAAGCGUGUUAAGUAUCCGCGAACGCCGAACAGGGCCAGGCCCACCUGUCUCCUAGGUGGUCUCAACCUGCCCUGUCGCUCCGCCACAAAGUAACCGUCGGGGACCGUCGGGAACCCAGGCCCACCUCUACCGGGAUGGAACCACCUGCCCCUUCAGCCCCCAACUCCGAACCGUAUCACAGGUAAGGUAACAGUGUAAAGUAUAUAGUAUAUGCCCGUGAUCACCUCCCGAAGUGAUCACAGCCCAGUAGUAUAGCAUGGCAGACGGACAAGAGUGUAGGGCCACUGAUGGAACACUAGCAUCCUAUACUAAGCAUUUAGGAUUGCGGGUAAGGUAUCAAUGACUGUAGCAGCAAUGACAGGCUAUGCAUCAGAAUAGGAUUAACGGAAAGCAGUAACAAGCUACACUACUCUAAUGCAAGCAGUAUAAGGAAGAGUAGGCGAUAUCUGGUGAUCAAAGGGGGGGGGCUUGCCUGGUUGCUCUGGCAAGAGAGAGGGGUCGUCAACUCCGUAGUCGAACUGGUCAGCAGCAGCGUCGGUCUCGUAGUCUACCGGAGAGAAGAGGGGGAAGAAAUAAUGAAUGCAGAGCAAACAAAGCAUCACAAAAUAUAACAAGGCAAUACGCGGUGUUCGGUGUGCCCUAACGCGGUAGUAGGUAAUACCGGUGAAGGGGGGAAAAACAUCCGGGAAAGUAUUCCCGGUGUUUCGUGUUUUCGGGUAGAGGAGCCGGAGGGGGAAAGUUGCGGGUUCGAUAGGUUAGGGGGGUGUGGCGGACGAACGGACUGCGUAUCCGGAAUCGUCUCGUCGUUCUGAGCAACUUUCAUGUUGAAAAUAUUUUAAUCCGAGUUACGGAUUAAAAGAUAUGAUUUUCUAAAGAUUUUAUUAAUUUCUGGAAUUUAUUUAAUUAUUUAAUUAAUUCAGAAAAUGGAUUUAUGACGUCAGCAUGAUGUCAUGCUGACGUCAGCAGUCAACAGGGUUGACUUGGUCAACCUGACGGUGGGUCCCGCAUGUCAUUGACUGAUAACAAACUAACUAAAUUAAUUAAUCUAAUUAGUAGAUUAGUCAGGUUAAUUAAAUGAUUAAUUAGUCUAACCAGGUUUAAUUAAGUUAAUUAAUUCUUUAAUUAAUUAAUUAAUAUUUUAAUUAUUUUAAUUAUCCUUUUAUAUAUAUAUAUUUUUUUAUUUUUUUUAUUUUAUUUUUUUAAAAUCUUUUUUUUUUGUUCUAGGGCGUGGGCCCCGUUUGUCAUGGGGCCAAUGGCCUUAGCGGGCAUGGGCAUGAGGGCGUGCGCCCGAGUCCACUCGGGAAGGGGGCAACGGGCGCUUGGGCAGGCGCUCGCCCGCAGGAAGUGCGAUAGGGCGAGGCCAGCGGCCAGGGCGGCCGCGGUGGCCNNNNNNNNNNGGGGGGGGGCUUGCCUGGUUGCUCUGGCAAGAGAGAGGGGUCGUCAACUCCGUAGUCGAACUAGGCAGCAGCAGCAUCGGUCUCGUAGUCUACCGGAGAGAAGAGGGGGAAGAAACAAUGAAUACAGAGCAAACAAAGCAUCACAAAAUAUAACAAGGCAAUACGCGGUGUUCGGUGUGCCCUAACACGGUAGUAGGUGAUACCGGUGAAGGGGGGAAAACCCCCGGGAAAGUAUUCCCGGUGUUUCGUGUUUUCGGGCAGAGGAGCCGGAGGGGGAAAGUUGCGGGUUCGAUAGGUUAGGGGUGUGUGGCGGACGAACGGACCGCGUAUCCGGAUUCGUCUCGUCGUUCUGAGCAACUUUCAUGUUGAAAAUAUUUUAAUCCGAGUUACGGAUUAAAAGAUAUGAUUUUCUAAAGAUUUUAUUAAUUUCUGGAAUUUAUUUAAUUAUUUAAUUAAUUCAGAAAAUGGAUUUAUGACGUCAGCAUGAUGUCAUGCUGACGUCAGCAGUCAACAGGGUUGACUUGGUCAACCUGACGGUGGGUCCCACAUGUCAUUGACUGAUAACUAACUAACUAAAUUAAUUAAUCUAAUUAGUAGAUUAGUCAGGUUAAUUAAAUGAUUAAUUAGUCUAACCAGGUUUAAUUAAGUUAAUUAAUUCUUUAAUUAAUUAAUUAAUAUUUUAAUUAUUUUUUUAAUUUUUUUUAUUUUAUUUAUUUAUUUUAUUUUUUUAAAUCUUUUUUUUUGUUCUAGGGCGUGNNNNNNNNNNUAUUCCCGGUGUUUCGUGUUUUCGGGCAGAGGAGCCGGAGGGGGAAAGUUGCGGGUUCGAUAGGUUAGGGGUGUGUGGCGGACGAACGGACCGCGUAUCCGGAUUCGUCUCGUCGUUCUGAGCAACUUUCAUGUUGAAAAUAUUUUAAUCCGAGUUACGGAUUAAAAGAUAUGAUUUUCUAAAGAUUUUAUUAAUUUCUGGAAUUUAUUUAAUUAUUUAAUUAAUUCAGAAAAUGGAUUUAUGACGUCAGCAUGAUGUCAUGCUGACGUCAGCAGUCAACAGGGUUGACUUGGUCAACCUGACGGUGGGUCCCGCAUGUCAUUGACUGAUAACUAACUAACUAAAUUAAUUAAUCUAAUUAGUAGAUUAGUCAGGUUAAUUAAAUGAUUAAUUAGUCUAACCAGGUUUAAUUAAGUUAAUUAAUUCUUUAAUUAAUUAAUUAAUAUUUUAAUUAUUUUUUUUAUUUUUUUUAUUAUUAUUUUUUUUAUUUUUUUUACUUAUUUUAUUUUUUUAAAUCUUUUUUUUUGUUCUAGGGCGUGGGCCCCGUUUGUCAUGGGGCCAAUGGCCUUAGCGGGCAUGGGCAUGAGGGCGUGCGCCCGAGUCCACUCGGGAAGGGGGCAACGGGCGCUUGGGCAGGCGCUCGCCCGCAGGGAGUGCGAUAGGGCGAGGCCAGCGGCCAGGGCGGCCGCGGUGGCCGGCCGGCGUGGGGGGGAAACGGAGUGCGGGGCCGGCGACGAGCGGGCCCGCGGGCGGCAGGGGAGCCGGGCGCGGUGGUGGUGCGAGGAGGCGUGGCGUGCACGGGACGCACGCGUGCGGUGGCCGCGGCGACGAGCGCCGGGCGCACGCGGUGGCGCGACGAGUAGGGGAGGCCGGUGCGGGUGGCGACGGGGAGUCGUGCAGAGCGGGCACAAAGAGGAAGAGGAGGCCGUGGCCUCACCGGCGUUGCAGAGAAGCGGGGCGGCGAGGCUCGGGGGCGACCAUUGUGGAGGAGGAUGGGGACGAGGCGUCGCCGCGGCAUCGGGGAGGCGGGCGCAGUCCGGCGAGGUGGAGGACGGGGACGACGUGCGGCGGGGCGAUGAGGUCCGGCGAUGUAGAGGAGAAGGACGGCGAGGUCUGGCGAUGGGCAGCGGCGGGACGGCGCGCGUCCACGGCGUCCGGCGAGGAGGGGGUGAGGACGAGCGGNNNNNNNNNNUCAUUUCUCUUUUCUGUUUUAUUUUAGUUGCACUUUAUUUUUGGUUUAGCAAAAUAUAAAAAUAGCCCCAAAAAUAGUGUGUCAAAAUAAUCCACUGUUCUAAGAAGUUUUACCUCAGAAUAAAAAUAGUUUAGUAUUUGGUAAAAUAUAUUAGGAGUAUAACUAAUUGUUUUGAUGUUGUUUUAAUCACUUUAGGGUAUUUAAAUAUCUUAUAAAGAUGUUGUUACUCCAUCAAUAAUAUCCAUGAUUUAUUUGUCACAUUAAGAACAAUUUAGAUUUGAGUUAUGAAAACUUUAAUUGUUUGACUUGAUUUUAAAUUUGAAUUUGAAUCGUUUUUGAACCAUCGCGAGAUUAACAACAAUAACCGAGGUGACGUGGCAUCAUUAGCGUGGAAUUACUAUAGCCUGAAUAUCCGGGCGUCACAAACACAUCCCUCACAUUACCGACAUAAUCAUUUCACUCUAGCCCAUCACCCAGAUGAACCAGACCAGACACAACUCUAAGCAUAGCAGGCAUAGCACGGUAGGAAACAAAUACAUGGCUCAAUCAACUCCUACACAUGCUAGUGGGUUUCAUCUAGUUACUGUGGCAAUGACAGGUCAUGAAGAGGAUAAGGGUUCAACUACCGUAGCACACAGCAGUUUGAAUCGCGUUGUCUUAAUGCAGUAAAUAAGAGCAGAAGCGAGAACAUGAGUCUGUAUCGGAAUGAUCAAUGGGUUGCUUGCCUGAUGUAGUGGUAGUAGGGUACUGCCCUUCAGACGGAUACUCGGGGUUAUCCUCGGAGGCAGAACCUACCACAAAAAUCACACCGAACAUAAUCAACUCAUGACAAUAUGCAACAAUAUGUUGCACGCUAUGACAUGGCAAAAUGAAUGUGUCUUGGCCUAAUGCAAGCUAAAACAGAAAGGAAUGAGCUCAUUUGAAUCAAAGAUUCAAAUGUUAGUUCAUUUAACAUAGCCUUAUUAGUGCAUUAUCUUAUUCUGCUUAAACAACAAGGUUAACUUGUUUUGUCAUGCAUGAAACCAUUACAGAUGGAUAGAUUUAAUUUUUCUGAUCAUUUUUCAUAUAUAAAUUGUUUGAUUUGGAGCUAUGGUUGAUUUUCUAUGAUUUUUAGAAGUUUUGGCUAUUUUUUGGAAUUUCCUAUAUAAGAAUCAUUCUAUUAAUUGAAUUAAUGCAUCAGCAUGACAUAGGUGUGACGUCAGCGGGUCAACUGGGUCGGCCAGGUCAAACCUGACUGGUGGGCCCUGUCUGUCAGUGGCUCAGCUAAAUAACAGGAUUAACUUAGUACUAAUUAACUGUCAGUGGGGCCUGGGCCCACAUGUCAGUGACUAGACUAAUUAAAAUUAGUUAACUCUAAUCCUAAACUAAUUAGCAGGCCGGCCCCACCUGUGAUAGGCUCAGGGGGGAAGUCAACCUGGGCCCACGCGUCAGUCCACGGUCAAAAGGGGUCAAACUCGCCGGCGAGGCCAGACACGGUGGAGGGCUCGGGUUUUGCACUCCGGCGACCAAAAGGACGGCAGAGACCAUCUACGUGAUGCGGGGAGUGAGCCGCAUCGAGUGGUAGCAGUAGGUGGAGCUGGGGUGGACGGAGACGACAGCGGCGAGCACGUCCGAGACGGCCGGAGUUCGGGCGAGGUUGAACUAGUUGCUAGCAGGCACGGCGAGGGGCGUGCGGGGGUGCUACGGGCGCCUGCAAGUGCGUUGAAGACGAAGGCGAGCUCGGUUGUGACCCAACAUGGCUGUGGCCACGACAGCGACGUGCAGUGGCGGCGGCGAGCUUCGGCUCCGAUGGCCAUGGUGGUUAGAGGACGCGGACGAGCGCAAGGAGAGGGGGAAAUGGGUCAGUAGCUCACUGCGGUUACAGGGGAGCGAAUGGCGAGCUCGGGGAAGAGCUGGAGCGAGCGGGGCGGCGAGGGGGAUCUCCGGCGACCGAGGUUGAAGACGAGCUCGGUGCAGCGUCUCCGGGGUGAGCGAGCGCUCGGGGAUGGGUCGAGGCGAAGCAGCGGACGAUGGCGGAGCUUCUUGGCACGGCGAGGCAGCGAGUGGACGGCGGUGGCUGCGGUGGAGCUUUUCACCGGCGACGGCUGCGCUCGGCAGGGAGUGGGGAGAGAGCCAGAGAGGGGGAGAGGCCACAGGGAUAGUGGGGAGAAUGAGAGGGGGAUGUGGGGGAGUGCGUGGCACUCGUAGGCACGUCCGGGGCGUCGGCGGAAGCAGGAAGUGGCCAGCUUGUGGCCGCGGGUGCCGGCCACGCGCUUCUCGUCCUCCUGGCGAGAGGAGGAGGACGACUGGCAGGAGCCAGUGGAUUGGGCCGAGCCGGUGGGCCAAGUGGGCUGCGCCAGGUAAGUCUCUGUUCUCUCUCUCCUUUUCCGUUUUCCAUUUAUUCUACUAUUUCUGUAACUUCAGGGCUUUAUUAAAAAUGCCAGGGCAUUUCCAAAAAUCAUAAAAUUAAUCAUGGCCACUGCUUAGGAUAUAUCCAACAGCAAACAUUUUAGUUUAUGAUUAUUUGAGCAUUUAAAAUAUUUUAUAGCAUUUAAAUGCCCAAAUGCAAAUACUAUAAGAAUUAAUCCAAUGACCUUAAGAUGUCCUAGAAAAAUGUGCACCAUUUUUGUCAAAGGUUUUAACCCAAAACAAAAAGGGUGGGCUUUUUAGAAGGGCAUUUCAGGUUCAUUGAAAAAGGUUUUAGUAAACCCUAGUUGUUCCAGGGGGGUGCUGGGGGUUCUGUCAUCCCCAUUUCAAAUUUAAGAGAAAUUUAAACAUGAUGCACACUCUAAUGCUUGAACUAGCUAGGGUGUGACAGCUUGAGACUUAAAUUAUAGAAAGAAAUCACUUACAGACAAUAGCAACUGAUGACAGAUUUGUCGAGUGCGUCUUGAUUGUAUAACUGAAAUAGUUCUGAAUACUCAACGGACACAACUUUCUCAUGGUAGUAAUGAUCCUUCUUGACAUUUACCAUGAGGGACUCUCGAUUGGAAAUCUUGGUAAUGUCCAUGUACCAUUGAUGCAAUUCAUACAUUCUCGUUGGGAGCUUCUUGACCUCGUCUGGCUCGACCAAAGGUUGGCCCCGGACAUAUUUCCGUUUUAUUUCCUCCUCUCUAAUCAGAGACAUGGGCUCAAUAUCGAGAAGUUGUCCAACAGUGAUCAUGAGCCUUUUAGUCCGCUCAAUAUGCUCCUCGGUUAUUACCACAUCGCCCAGCCCGAGAACAUUAACGGUUUGCCCACAAUAAUAUUGGGCGCGAGUACUCUCAUGUGUUGCUUGCACAACAAGCGGGGGGAUUGAUUGCGCCGCCUGUUCUCCCAGCUGGGGAAAGGUUUUACCGCUCCUUUUGCCAGGUGAUUUGCUCGAGCUCGAGCUUGCCUCUUUCUGUAGACGUGCUCGAUUUAGCUUCCUGAGGUGGCGCUCAUAGUCUGUGUCAACAGGCUUGGGAGCUGGUGCUCUAGCCAUACGAAUGAAGUGGUCAAUCUUUUCCUCAGGCACUUUCUCCCUUGGCAGCGGUAGUGGUUUCGGUGCAAAUUGGGCUUCCACCUCGGCCUUCGAUAUGGUAGCAUUUUCCUCCUUGGACUUGUCGUAAGGCCUCUGCGGAAGAGGCGCGAGGCUGCUUGGACCAUAUUGAAAUCGCUUGCCUCCGCCUGUACCUCCAGUACUACCUCGACUUGUACCGCUACACACCAUAGCUGAGGUGGCUCUCUUCCAUGAUUGCUGAGGCGGCGAAGACGGCUGACGUGGCUGAGUUGGAGGAGGAGGAGUGUCCUGAAGCUGUGCCGGACUUGGAGGAGGAGUGGUCUGAUGCUUUGCUGGACUUGGAGGAGGAGGAGUGGCCUGAAGCUGUGCCGAACUUGGAGGAGUGGCCUGACGCGUUGGUGGACUUGGAGGAGCGGGAGUCUGCUGACUUGAUGGCGGACUUCGAUGUGGAGUCGGAUGACGCGAUAUCGGUGGCCUUCGAAAGAUGAUGCAAUCCUCUCUCCAUAGGAUGAUACGAUGGUUGGCCUCUCCUAGUGUGUGCUCCUCGUAACCUCCAGGAAUGUCAAGCUCUAGCCCCGAGUAUUGGCCCGCUGGAAUCGGGUUGCAAUGGAAGGUUGCCUCGGGGGGAUUUGUAAAAGCAACGACGUCCACCACCUUCAUGGAUAUGUUCUUCAUUUUGAAGUGUAGCUCUCAGUUAGUGUUCUCCAUGAUGUCAUCCACUAGGUAGCUAUCCGGCAAUGCAUCUCCCGGGGUGGAACCCACGCUGCUUCUUGGCAUGGAUGGGACGGUGGUACCCAAUGAUGGAUCAUCCGCUAGCUGCUGCAGCUGUUGAGACCCCCUUUGCUGGCUAAGUGAGUCGAUCUGCUCAUGCUGUCGCUGGAAUUUGACUGGCAAGUCCACGUGCGCUGAUUCUAGGCCUUGAAGGCGUUCAUAGUCCAGCUUCCUCUGCUCCUCCUCCAUCUUCCUCUUCUUCUCCUCCGCAAUCUUCUUUCUCGCACAGGUUCUGUAGUCGGCGUUCCAGUCCGAAACCCCUCAUACCACGGAAUAGCGCCCUUGCCUCAUGUUCUUCCCGGGUGUUCAGGAUUUCCUAGGGCACGCGUAAGCUCGUCAUUCUCUCUGUUGGGAUCGAACACCCCCGAUCGAGCUUCUUCUAUUGCAACAAGUAGCUUAUCUUCGGCUCCGUCCAGACAUGCCUUCUUCGAAACUUUGCCUGUCUUCGGGCCAACUCCCCCCAUGCGCAUAGAACCAAGUCCUGCACCUGGGGGCCAGCUCAAUGUUUCUGGAAUGACACCUGCAUCCUCCAUCUCUUUCUCAGACUUAUCCCACUUAGGCAUUCCUACCGCAUAGCCACCUGGCCCCAACUUAUGGAACUUAUCCUUUUUACGGCAUUGGCCUUGUUUAUUCUCGACCGUUCCUUAGAUAAUUCUGAUUCCUUGAAUUUCACGAAAUCGUCCCAAUGAGCACUUUGCUUCUCUAGUGUUCCCAUGAAUACUGGAGUCUUCUUUCCUCCCUUGAUGUACUGGUCCCAUACACGAUUCUUGUGGUUGUUGAAUGCAACCGCCAUCUUCCUAAGAGCAGCUUCCUUGACUUUCUCCACAUCUGCAUCUGUGAAAUGAUCUGGUAGGGUGAAAUGUUCCAUGAGCGUUUCCCAAAGCAGAAGUUUUUGCCUGUCGUCGACAAAAAUAAGAUCUGGACGUGGCUUUGCUGGCUCUCUCCAUUCCUGAAGGGAGAUCGGGAGUUGGUCCUUCACAAGAACUCCGCACUGAUGAAUGAACUUGUCCGCAAUCUUCUUAGGCGCUAAUGGUUCACCAUUAGGUUUGAUGGCCUCGAUAUUGUACUUUACGCCCUCCUUCAUCUUUUUGUUCGGGCCUCGUACUGUCCUGCUGCCUGAAGAUUUGCCCGAUCCGGAUGGCUGAAAGAAGAAAGAUCGAUUCAUUAAUAUAUAUAUAUCUUCAAGUCAUUUAAAACAUGUGAUGAUCACCAGAUGCCUGCUUAUAUAAAUAUACCUCAUCGGUCUUUGUUGUUUCAAGAUCAACAUUUGGUUCGUCAUGUUCAUAGUUCAUGACUUCAUCAAUUCGGUCGUCGUGAUCGAAUAUCAUGUCACCCUCCCCGGUGUUGUUUAGAUAUUCAGAGCCGUCAUAAUCUUCUUCAUUCUGAUCAUCAUCUGGCCCGCGAGGAUUGCGUAUGAUAUUGAAUAGGGCCUCUUCUCCCUCUCUGCCGGUAUUGUCCGCCAUAGGUUUUAUUUAACUAAUCCAAAAGAAAUAUAUUCAAAUUACAAUGCAUGGAUGCAAUCAAUUAAUAAGGAAAAACUGAAUCAAUCAUAGUACAUAAUAAGCAUCAUCAAAUAUAAUCUCGAAUACAUCGUAUCGAAUAAUAGAUAUAAUCUCGAAUACAUCGUAUCGAAUAAUAUAUAAUCUCGAAUAAAUCAUCUCGAAUAUUAUAUAUCAAAUAGAUCACUAGCUAGCUAGCUAAUAAAGAUCGAAUACUAGAGAGUAAUCUAGGCGGUGGACAACCAAAGUGAAGGAACCAUCACUGGAUCAUAGCUCGGGGGAUCUCCCCAAAGAACCUGCCAGGUAUUGGAGAACCAAACGUCCAUAGCAGCCAUGUAGCGAUGGACGUGCUCGUCCUCCUCCCUGACACGGCGACGUACCACCUGCAGCGGGGCCCGCUCCCUCCGCAUCAAAAGUGGCCCACGCGAAUGCCACCAAAGGAGAUGAGGGUCGACGAGGGGACCCGGGGCCGGGUUCCUCACUGUUGGGGAUAUUACUACUGGGCGUAAACCGGCCUAUCUGGGCCGGGUUAACUUCGUCAGUAGUUAAGUAUGUUAAAGCCCAAGAAGACAGAGGAGGGCUCAAGGCCCAUGGUCGGUUCAAGGCCUGUAGCCGUAAACCGGCAUUAGUAGUUAACUUGUAUUGUAAGUUAGGAAUAAGUAGAGACCAAACUGGACACAUCUAUGAGCCGGCAUUGGGACUCCGUAAGCCGACGGGAGUCACCCGUGUAUAUAAGGGAACGACCCAGCGGCGGUUCAAAGAUAACAGACAACAACUCGAGACAUAGGCGAAGCUUGUUUGCUCCCUAGUCAUCGAAACCCCCAUCAAUUCCAUCACAACUAGACGUAGUCUUUUACCUUCAUCGAAGGGGCCGAACUAGUAUGAACUCUCUUGCGUCCCUGUGUCUGCUUUAACCCCUUCAAGCUAACCCGUCGCGAUGGCUCCACGACUAAGUCCUUUCUCUAGGACAUCUGCCGUGACAAAACCACGACAGUUGGCGCCCACCGUGGGGCUAUCACAUGAUGGUUUCAAGUUCUUGGAGGGCCGCUUUGAAGGACUCGAGGGCUACGCCGUAGGCCGGAUGACUAAGAGUCGUCGCGGCAAGCUCUACAUCGACGACGCAGGCUAGGGCCCCGAGGCCGGCUCAAUUGAGUACGGGUACCGGGUCCCUUUGGUGGCAUUCACUUUUUCAUUGGCAAGAUCGGUGAACCGGGCCCCGAGCUGGACAUCUGCACCGACCUCGUCGAGACAGCUCAGCGUGCGCGAUCCGCUCGGGUCAAACCGGCCAUGAAGCGUGCCUUCAUGGGAGUCAUCCAUGGAGGAAGUUAUGAGGAUGGAUCGGAAUCUCGCGGCGAUACCGUCGUUUGUUCCGAUGACGAGUCAUCGACCGGAGAAACCGAAUCUCUUUAUCAGCUACAAGACGGCCGGAUUGGGGGCUGUUCCGAUGGCGACAGUAUUCCGGACCCCUCUGAUAUGUCCAACCGGGUUGGAAUAUUCAUGACUGGCACACAAGCAGCGCUUCAUUCUUCGACCGCUGUGGCAACGACCUUUGGUUUAGCAGCGGCAACGGCUGCCGGGGCAGGAGGCCCUGUGCGCCCGCCGGCUCAAGUUCUAUCAAAGCUAUUUGAUGCAUUGGCUGUGCUUAUGGCGGAGGCUAAUACGGCGAAUCAGGGCGUUCACAAUGCCGAGAUUGCAAAAGUGAAGGAACAGAUCACCCAGGCCAAGGCAGAUCUGGCAGCCGAGGACACCAGGAUGGCCACGGAGCAGGCCGCUUUAGACGCACAAGCCUACAGGCUCAUGUUGAACCAGAGUGCGUCGCAGGAAGUCAUGAGGAGGAAGUACCGAUCCCGUUUGCCUCCGGUUUUUGAGGCCAGAGGCCUUUUCAACACUCCAGGAGUAGGAACCAGCAAUCCGAUGGAGGGAAACUGGGCUGAAGCUCCCGGGGCCGGCGCACCGGUUCAGCCUCGUCAGAUGGACCCGCCUCAUCAAAACACCGUUAUACCUCAAGCUGUUUUAACACCUCCGGGUCACUACUCCAACCCGAUGGACAAUCUCGUUGCCGCUGCUGCACAGCUGGAGGCCAUUCCAAUUGAAGGUGAUUCGCCGCAGGCAGUAGAGACGCGACUGGUCAAGGAGCUUCUAAGGACAGCCUUGGUCCAACAGGAAGCAUACUCGUACAGCCGCGAUCGGAUCCACUCGACCCCCCGUCCAAGCCGGAGCCAUAGCAGACAUAUGGAUGAACCGGCAGUGUCGAGUAAUGAACAACGUGGAGCACCCCGUGGAAACAACCCGACGGGUGGUGUUGAUGACGCUCAGGAAGUGGUGAACCAGGCCCGAGCGCGCAGGGAGGCCAAGUUAGCCACACAGCAUCAGGCUCGGCAGCUCACACCGGUUCGUCCAACCAUCUCGAUCGAACCUAGUGUUAAUUCUAGUUCUUUGGGGGUGCCUUGCCUUAUCCCCGCUUUACGCAAUGUGCGCCUGCCCAAGGAUUUCAAGGGCCCGCGCAAGGUACCAAAUUACACGGCGAAUCAGCCUCCGGAGACAUGGGUGGAGAGCUAUUAGAUGGCCAUGGAGAUGCUUGAUGUGGAUGACGCGGCGUGUGCGAAAUACUUCACCAUGAUGCUUGAAGGAACGGCCCGUACUUGGUUAAAAAGCUUGCCGGCUAAUUCUAUGAGUUCAUGGGCCCAAUUACGAGCCCGGUUUAUCAGCAAUUUCAAGGAUACAUGUAAACAGCCUAUGUCGAUAGUGGACUUAGCUGCAUGCAUCCAGGAGGAAGGAGAGUCAACAACUCAUUAGGUGCGUCGGGUUUCACAAGUGUUGCACUCAUCAGACCGCAUCAACGCUGACACCGCAGUAUUAACCCUAGAAGGCAACUGCCGGUUUGGGCCCCUGAAGCUGAAGUUGGGACGGAUGAAGCGUCAUUGCACUGAAAUGGGGACCCUCAUGGCCGCUUUGGUGAAAUAUGCUGAUUCUGAUAGUACCAAGGAUCCCGAAUUUGAUGAUGACAAGAUAGGGAAGGGAAAGAGGAACAACAACUCCAAGGGUCAGCAGCAUCACUGGGCAGGAAAUGGUGGUGGAGGCAAGCGUAAAGCGGAUGGUAACAUGGACUUUGUGGCUAAUACUAACGCACAGGACAAUGGCCAACGAUGCAGGGGUAAACCGAAAAAUCGUAAUGGGGCACCCAAUCCUAACCCAGAACGCCUAAACUAUCUGCUAAGCCAGCCCUGUCCAAGACAUGGGACGAAGGAGUCGCCAGCAAACCACCUUUGGAAGGAUUGCUUUAUUAUGCAGGAGUUCAAGAAUUCUAAUAAUUUCCGGUAUGAUCACGAAUCUGGCGGUGGCUCAGGAUCCGGGCCGGGUUACUGUGGAGGAAGUUCCGGUUCAGGAUUUAAUGGUAAUCCGGGCGGACAUAAUGGUCAAAAUAGUCAGAACAACCAGGGUGGUUACAACCAACAACAGCAACAGUCAGGUUACCAGAGCAACCCAAAGCAGUUGAGUAGUGGGCAGUACCAUGUUUUCACCACUAGCUUGGACAAGCGAGACCGGAAAGUUCAGAAGUGGGCGGUCAACUCGGUUGAACCGGCCAUACCCCGUUAUUUACAUUGGUCUGAACAGCCACUCAUAUGGAGCAGAGAGGAUCACCCACCCCAGGUCGAUAAUCUGGGUCAGUUGGCUCUGGUGGUGGCGCCUCAGGUGGGAGGUUAUAAGUUCACCAAGGUGCUCAUGGAUGGAGGUAGCAGCAUUAAUAUCUUGUACUAUGAGACCUUCCGUCGUAUGGGACUGACAGAUAAAAAUCUUAAACCGUCUAAUACGGUGUUCCACGGUGUAGUACCCGGCAGAUCAGCAUAUCCUGUUGGCAAGAUAGCUCUGGAAGUGGCCUUUGGGGAUGAUCAUGAUUCCAGGUCGGAGACAUUGAUGUUUGAAGUGGUGAAAAUCCAAAGUCCGUAUCACGCCCUAUUUGGGCGACCGGCCUACGCCAAGUUUAUGGCACGGCCCUGUUAUGUGUAUUUGCAGCUCAAGAUGCCGGGUCACAAGGGGACAAUAACGGUUCAAGGAAGUCGCAAAAUUGCUUUGGAGUGCGAGGAAGGUGAUGCGGCCUAUGCAGAGUCGGUUUGUGCCACCGAGGAGCUGAAGUAUUAUAAGGACAAUGUUGAUCCGGUAGACAUGACUCCAUUAAAGAAGCCAACUAGGGAGCAUGAUCCGGCUCUAAAGUUCAAAUCGGCAGCAGAAACUAAGCUUGUUGACUUUGUACCUGGUGAUUCGUCCAAGCAGUUCAGCAUCAGUGCUAAUUUGGAUCCGAAAUAGGAAAGCGCGCUCAUCGAGUUCAUUCGUGAGAAUCGGGACAUUUUUGCAUGGAAGCCCUCUGACAUGCCAGGUGUACCGAGGCAACUCGCUGAGCACACCCUUAAUGUGGAUCCUAAAUACAAACCGGUGAAACAGUUCCUCCGCCAGUUUAACGAAGAAAGACACAAGGCAAUUGGAGAAGAGGUAGCCAUGCUCUUAGCAGCUGGUUUUAUUAUUGAAGUUUUUCACCCUGAGUGGCUUGCCAAUCCGGUGCUGGUCCUUAAGAAAAACGGUACCUGGCGCAUGUGUGUGGAUUACACAGAUCUUAAUAAAGCUUGUCCAGCAGAUCCUUUUGCCCUCCCCCGUAUUGAUCAAAUUAUUGAUGCUACGGCGGGUUGUGAGCAUUUAAGUUUUUUGGAUGCAUAUUCUGGCUAUCAUCAAAUCAAAAUGGCAGUUAAGGACCAGGAGAAAACGGCAUUCAUAACUCCCUUUGGAGCCUUCUGCUAUGUGUCUAUGCCCUUUGGGCUCAAGAGUGCCCAGGCAACUUAUCAACAUUGUGUGCAAAAUUGUCUACAUAAACAGAUUGGCCGUAAUGUACACGCCUACGUGGAUGAUAUCGUGGUUAAAUCCAGGGAGAAGGAGACUCUGAUUGGUGAUUUAAAGGAAACUUUUGAUAACCUGAGGACAUACAAGAUGAUGCUUUAUCCGGAUAAAUGCGUCUUUGGUGUACCGGCAGGCAAGUUAUUCGGCUUCUUGGUGUCCAAUAGGGGAAUUGAGGCUAAUCCGGAGAAGAUCACAACCAUCACCUCCCUUGCUAAACCGAAGUGUAUCAAUGAUGUUCAGCGCCUGGCAGGCCGGAUUGCCACGCUAAGCCAGUUUAUCAGUCGCCUGGGUGAGAAGGCAAUCCCUUUGUAUCGGAUGUUGAAAAAUACGGAUCAGUUUGUCUGGAGUUCUUCUGCUGAUGAAGCAUUUGAGGACUUAAAGCGGCAAUUGGCCAAUCCGCCUGUGCUCGCCGCUCCCAUUGACAAGGAGCCGUUACUGCUAUAUGUUGCUGCUAAUGCUCGGGCGGUCAGCGUGGCUAUUGUGGUGGGGCGAAAGGAGGCAGGUAAGGAGCAUCCGGUUCAACGUCCGGUCUAUUAUAUCAACGAGGUGCUCAUUGAGUCCAAGCAAAGGUAUCCGCAUUGGCAGAAGCUGGUGUAUGGAGUUUUUAUGGCAAGCCGGAAGCUUAAACAAUACUUCCAAGGGCAUCCAAUUACGGUGGUCAGUUCUGCUCCUUUGGGAGAUAUCAUCCAGAACCGGGAAGCAACUGGCCGGAUUGCCAAGUGGGCUAUAGAGCUUGGGCCACACAAUUUGAAGUAUGUGCCUCAGACGGCGAUUAAGUCUCAAGCACUGGUUGAUUUUAUCAAUGAUUGGACGGAAAUGCAAGCACCUGAAGAAAAGCCGGAUCACACAUAUUGGACCAUCCAUUUUGACGGAUCCAGGCAAUUGAAAAAUUCGGGGGCUGGAGUCAUAUUAACUUCCCCGCGAGGUGACAAGUUUUGUUAUGUUCUCUGCUUAAUGUUCCCUUGUACUAACAAUGCAGCUGAGUAUGAAGCCUUGCUCCAUGGUCUCUGGAUGGCUAAGGAGAUGAAUCUAGGUCGAGUUAAGUGCUUCGGUGACUCGGACCUCGUGGCUCAACAAGUGUCUGGCACUUGGGACUCCAACGAUCCACUCAUGCCAGCAUAUCGCCGUGAGGUGGAUAUUGUUGCAGGUCAUUUCAAAGGCUAUCAGGUGGACCACGUGGACCGGCGGAAAAAUGAAGCGACAGACGCUUUAAGCCGGCUGGGCUCUCAGCGCAAACCGGUUCCGCCCAAUGUUUUUCUGGAUGUGCUGCACAACCCGUCGGUCAAGAUCCCUAGUGAAGCGGAUUUGGCUAUUCCUGAUCCGGAAGCUCAAUUGGUGGCAGCUCUUCAUGUUAUUCCGGAUUGGACGCUUCCCUACUUGGCGUACAAGAACCCGGGCGAGUUACCAGAGGAUGAGACUCUGGCCAGAUAGAUAAUCCGGCGAUCCAAGUCCAUGACUAUUAUCAACGGCGAGUUGCAUCAUUGCAGUGUAUCAGGGGCAUUUCAAUGCUGUGUGUCUCCUAAAGAAGGCCGUGAAAUUUUGCGUGAGAUCCACGCAGGGGAUUGUGGUCACCACACCGGUUCAAAAUCUCUGGUGGCUAAAGAUAAGAAGACCCACCUCCUGGUGGCAGUUGACAAGUUUACAAAGUGGGUGGAGGCAGAACCUGUUAGCAAGUGUGAUGCGGCCACGGCGGUUCAGUUCAUUAAAAAGGUGAUUUUCCGGUUUGUCUUUCCACACAGUAUCAUCACAGAUAAUGGUACCAAUUUGUCCAAAGAUGCCAUGAAGGAGUUCUGCGAACGAGAGAACAUCUGGCUCGACUUUUCAUCAGUGGCACACCCACAGUCCAAUGGUCAAGCAGAUAGAGCUAAUCAAGAGAUCUUGAGACACAUCAAGCCCAGGCUCAUGGUUCCUUUGCAGAGAACGCCGGGUUGUUGGGUAGAAGAAUUACCAUCUGUGUUGUGGAGCAUCAAUACAACACCCAAUAGGUCAACAGGAUACACACCGUUCUUCAUGGUUUAUGGAGCGGAGGCGGUUCUCCCCAGUGAUAUCCGUCAUGAUUCACCUCGUGUGACGGCUUAUAUUGAAGCGGACAACGAAACGGCACGGCAAGAUGCUUUGGACCGGUUGGAUGAAGAGCGUGACAUAGGAGCCGCUCGAUCGGCGAUUUACCAACAGGAUCUUCGUCAUUAUCACAGUCGCCGAGUCAGAACCAGAACCUUCCAGGAAGGAGAUUUGGUGCUUCGGCUCAUUCAAGAUCAGACUGGUAUGCAUAAGUUAUCCCCACCUUGGGAGGGGCCUUUCGUGGUCAGCAAGAAUCUGCACAACGGGUCAUACUAUCUGAUCGAUAUUCGAGAACAUAAGGACUCACGUAGAUCAGAGGAGGAGACCAACAGGCCGUGGAACAUAGCUCAUCUUCGGCCUUAUUAUACCUGAGCCAUUGGUUCUACUUAUGUACAUAUUACAAUGAUGUAUAUAUUAACUAUAAUAAACCGGAACCUCAGCUAAAGCGGGGUAUCUGUUCUUUUACAUCAUGUGUGGUUACACGGAGUUGUUCUAAAGCGGCUUCCGGUUUACCCCUUGAGUUCGCUUUUCUAAAAGCAUCGUGUUAUAUCACUUGGAGGAUUGGUCGUGUCCGAACCAAUACCAUACCUCUUGAUAGGCGAGAGCAACCAGAUCACUUGGGGACUUGGUCACGUCUGAACCACUCAUGCCUCUUGAUCGGCGUAAGGCCACAUAAUCACUUGGGGGCUUGGUCGAACCCGAACCAUUGCCAUGCCACUUGGUCGGCAUAACUGCCACGGUUUCAUUUGGGGACCUGGCUGACUAGAACCAUAGUUACACCUAACGGGAGCUUGGUCGUGUUCGGCCAUGGUAACGCCAUUUGAUCAGCUCAAAUAAAUCUUUUUUGCAAACAGUUUUCUCAUUGCUUUUUGCUUCGCAUUUUUCUUUGCCAGAUUCUUUUUUCUUUUUUAUUGCGUUCUUUUUAAAAUCGACAAAGUUUUCAACCAAUCCAUUGACGGAACACAGUUCACGUCAAUUCGGAGACUAUUUGCCCGGUUUGAUCCUUGUUGUUAACAUCGUCUUAUGGAGUAACACGAUGUUUAUUAUAACCCGGCACGGUUUACAUGGUAAACCAGAGUCAUAUAUAUACAGGAGCUGUUAUCUCCUCAAUAGUGUGGGUUUGCAAAACUCCGCUUCAAGAUUGGCCAAGCCAACUUCACGCUCAACGAUGGCAAGUAUUAUGUAUCUCAAAAAUUUGAUCAUAUACUUAAAAUUUUGUUUUGGAUGUUUUGAUUUCAUAUAUGCACACAUCAUAUUCCGUCUGACGGUACAACCGCGGUGGCACUUGACGAAUUUCUCAUUUCAGAAAGUGCUUUGGAAAGUUCAUCACCAUAGGAAGAACAAAUUAUGCACGAAGGCAUAUCAACAUCAAAAGUAUCAGCUAGCCUAUUACAAGGCAACAUGGUGCCCAUAAUAAUAUAAUUGUUUUUCGCAACGGAGAGGCAGUUUUAAAACCGGCUUCAGUUCAAGCUUGGUCACCAGCCUGGUCUGAUGGUUGUGGGUCAUCCUGCGCCGCUUCAGCCUCCGUUUCUCUGCCCAGUGGCUGGAAAUCCACAGUUGUCCAGUCGAUUCCCAUUAAUGCUUGAAAAACAGCUUCACCAUGGAUCAGCAAUGACGGGUCAAUAUCGGAAGCAUAAGUAUGCUUACGGAUUGGAGGGAUCAGAUUUUCCGAUUCAUGGAUUGGUGCAUCUAUUCGCUUGUUCUAACUGUCAUAUUGGGCUUGAUAAUGAGACAAGUCUGCUUCUUUAGCCAAUUGACAAGCUAGCAGACGUACCUCCCGGUUUAUUGCUCGCAGAACCGCUUCACCAAAUUCUGACCCGUCUUCCUUCAAGCUGGGAUAGCCCUGAGCCGCUUCAAUAGGAUCAAAAUCUGGCACCCAGGCUUUUGCCCGGAUUAAGGCAUUGAUUGCACUGGUUCGAGCAGCAGAUUUCUUCAGCUCUUCAACCCAGGCAGGAAGCACCGACAGUUUCAUCAGAGUAUCUUGAAUCGAAGUGGGCACCGGUUUGUUAUGAGAUGCGGUACAGAUGAUCCGCUGGGCACCAGUAUACAAUUGUUCAACCAAUGUAUAGGCGGCUUUCAGUUUCUUCCGCACAUCUGACCCCAAGUUACCAAUGCGUGUCCCUGAAAUACCAUAAAGGGUUAAUAAACCGACGACUCUGUAAGAAGGCAGAACCAAUUCAUAAGGCAAUCUGGCUUACCAAAGAUAGCAGUAGUCAUGGCAUGCACGUGCCGCUUUAUGCUGGUCAGUUCAUCCUCCACUGGUUUUAGUGCAGCCUCGGCAUCCUCUGCUCGUUUGAUCAGAGCGGACUUUUCAGUGGCCCAAUCCGCCCGCUUCUUCUUGAAGCUCUCCUUAAGCUGUUCCAUGGCGCUUAAAGCGCUGGCCAAUUCCUCUUUUGCUUUGGAGGUUUCAGCCUGUUGGGUUUUCAGGUUUUCUUGGAGAUCGGUGACUUGGUUUUCUUUCGUCUUCAGCUCCGCCUACAUGCAUAUAGAUAUAUGCUUCAACAAAUCAGUAUAAGGAUUCAAGUACCAACCACAUAACAAGUUAUGCACUUAGCACUUGGGGGCUAAUGCAUAUUCGAUCUUCAUCUUUCAAUUGCUUGCAAAGUCCCAAGAUCAAUACAAGUAUUGAACUUGGCACUUGGGGGCUAAUGGCUAUUUGCUCGUAUAUAUAUUCUGAUGCGGCAAUCUCAAUUACUUAAAGUACCGGUUUAACUACGCUAAGUUGAACCGGCCCUUGGGGGCUACAUCGGCAAAAGUUCAAAUUAUUAAGAUUUAUGUUAGUAAGUCCCGGUUUGAAAGAAGAUUACAAACCGGCCCUUGGGGGCUAAGGAGAGUCAAUAAAUAUUGAAGCAUACAAGAACGAAAGAGCGUAUGGAAGUUACCUCAUAUUUAUACUUCAUCAUAUUAAUCAGACUGGCUUCAUAGUCAUGACUGGCAUACAGCUGGUUCAGGUAGCCGGAAUGGAUAUCUUGGGCGUUCAGAGCAGCGUAAGUUGCCAGAUCAGCAUUCCACUUGCCUUUACCAAAGGCAGCAAAUUCUUCCUUGGCAGAAUGUUUGGACAAAGCAACAGGAUUGCUUGGCUCGGUAUGGCCAGUGCCAGUAAUGACAACCUCAUCCUCCUGAGUAUCGCCGGUUUGCACUGGGGCUGUUGGCUUGUCAGUAGGUUUUGCUGGACCGGUGGAUCUCUCAAUCCGGAUGGAGCAUGUGGGCUGAUUGACAGGACUAGAGGCAUCAGUAGGUCUCUCUUCAGCAAUAAGAUCGUUGUCUUGCUGCGGUGGAUCAUUGGGUAUAUCCUCAGGAAUAGCCGCUUCAAGAUCGGGUGUCUUGCCUGGCUCAAGAACAGCAUCUUCUUCGGCCGCUUUGUCCAGGCGGGCCUUCUUGCUUGGCCUAGGUUUGGCCCUGGAAAGAAUAACAAAAUCAAAUACAACAUAUGUUCUAAGGCAAUGUGUUGUAAGUAUCAUAAUAAGUAUAGCUUACCCAAGCAUCGUUUUGAGCGGUGGCAGCUGAGUAGCCGAUGACUCGCCAGAGGAUGAGUGGGAAGUAACCUAGUAAUCGGAGUCAGAUGGAUUAAGAGGUUGGCGAAAGCAGCCCGCUUUAGGAAAAUCACUGACAAGCAAAUUAGAGACCUCUGAACGGCGUUUCCGAACCGGACUCUUCGGUAAACCGGUGGAGGUAACUACCUGGCCGCUGUGCCGGGUUGUGCGACAAGUUUCGUGCUGUUGGGUCUUCAUAAGAAAUUUGGGAUCCAAAUAAGCAAGAGGAUGAGAAAAUUUAACUUUCCGGUUUGCCUGACGGAUUUUUAGCGAAGCCAAAGGUUCUGAAUCAGAAGAGAGAAUAAUUACCUCUGCAGCAUCAGCGUGGCUGGCUUCGGCAUCAUCCUAACAAAUAUCAUCAUCAAUAAGACGCAUGAAAAAUAAGCCAAGUGAGUCAAGAUCUACCUCAAGGUCCGGAUUAUCCACAUCAUCAUCAGGGGCCGGAUUAGAAGAUGCAGUAGUUCUUUUCCUGUGGGCAGUCUUCUUUACAGCUUUAGUCUUUUGCUGGGUUGCUCUUUCCGGUUUGUCUGGCUUUUCCGGCUUCUCCUGCGGAAAUUUCUUGCUCCAAAACAGAUCAUUGCCCUGAUUACAUAGACACUGAUAUUAAACAAUGACCAGAUAUAUCAAUAAUAGAUUGAGCAAAAGGAAAAAUCAAGGUCUUAUAGCUGGCGGUUUGUUGGUGGCACAGAAGGGAAGUAGGCCGUUUUUAGCACAGAUAUGUUCCGGUUCAUUCAGCAUCUUAUUCACAGCUUCUAUGAUUUCUUCAUCGGUGAGCUGGAUUCUGGAAUGUCGUAUUGGGUCAUCAACACUGCCGGUAUAUUCACACAUCAAACCGCAGCGCUGACUAAGGGGCAGUAUGCUCCAUGAUAUCCAACAGCAAGCGAGAUCAACCCAUGUUAAACCAUUGGCCAUAAAGGCUCUAAGCUUCAACAGUUGAGGAGCAUAUUUGCUUCUCUCCUGGGCAGUCAAUCUUUGCGGAAAAGGGUGUGUAUUGCUGAGCCGCUCCGGACGAAAGCCGGGCAAGGGAUUCUCACCAGCAGGGGAGGUAUCUUUGCAGUAGAACCAUGUCUGAUUCCACUCUUUGGGGUGGCUGUGCAGUUUGGCAUGAGGGUAUGUGACCUCUUUCCUUUUCUGGAUCGCCAUGCCACCCAACUCCGUAUUGGAGCCAUCAGUAAACUUAGUACGGCGGUUUAGAUGGAAAAGGUAUCGGAACAAUUCCACUGUGGGCUCCUCUUGAAAGAACGCUUCACAGAGCACUUGGAAGUGACACAUAUUUGUAACAGAAUUGGGGCCAGUAUCUUGUGGUUGGAGUUGGAAAUCGGCCAAAACAUCUCGGUAAAAUUUAGAACCGGGUGGUUUAAAGCCCUGAGGUAAGUGAUCUACAAAAACAACAACUUCUCCUUCUUGAGGAGUGGGAGGGCAUUCUUUGCCAGGAGCUCUCCAAUGAAUGGUAUCUUUACUGCCUAAAGCGCCGAUCAAGACUAGAUCGUCCAGCUGAGCCUCUGUGACGCGAGAAGGAACCCAAUUGCAUUCAUAUACUUGCUUGGCCAUGAUGGAAACUACAAGGUAGAAGAUCUCGGUUCAAAAAUACAUUUGAUCAAGGUAUAUUGGUAUGUGCAAUGUUAAACCGGAGACAGAUCUAUCUGAACCGGAGUUUUAUGAAGAAACAACAUCUGGCGGUUCAACAAGGGGACUAAUGGUAUAAACCGGUUUGGCAAUUUUUUCCUACAAGGUUAAACCGCCGGCUUUAAACAUUGAAGCAGAGGAGUAAGUUUACAGAAAUAGAUUUCGUAAGAUUUCUCUACAGCGAUGGAUCUGAAGCAAGUUCAGAAAAAAGAUAAAUAUUCAGAGGUCCAAAAGGAGCAAUACCGAAUCAAUGAACAAGACGUACAUACAGAUCUAUGGUUUUGAGAUGUGCAAGUGAAGGCGAAGGGUAAACAGCUACCAUUGCAUAGAAUAAAGAUUUGUGGAGCCAUCUAAAGAUCUAUCGUAUGAGCAAGAGGCAGAGGAUGAACACUGAAGAACUACGAAACCCUAGGUCAGAUCUGCGGGGGAAAGGAUGGAAGAUUUACCGGAGUUGAGGAAGACGCGGAAGGUUGCCGCGAUGAUCUGGUGUGCUCAGGUUGAUGCAGCGGCCAAGGUUGAGGCAGAGGUCGACGGCGGCGGCGGAGCUCCGAGGCUGGCGAUGUGAGGAAGAUGAAGAAGGCACGGAAGGAGAAAAGAAAUGACCCUUUGGUCCUAUUUAUAAGGCGAAAGAACAUGUGUCAGGCGCGACAAUCAAGCGGCCACGAAACGGAGCUGUUGCCUCGAUUUCCGCCGAUCUAUUAUACAAAGAAGCAUAAUGGAUAGCUUUGUUAUGACAGGUGACGUCACUCAGGUUUACAGCAAUCAGAGAAGAUGACAUCAUGGCGGUUUACCAAUUUAUGAGAAGAUGUUGAAGAUGAAGCUUUUGUAAAAGGAUUGACAUGAACCCAUUCAAAUCAAUCUGGGGCCUAAUGUUGGGGAUAUUACUACUGGGCAUAAACCGGCCUAUCUGGGCCGGGUUAACUUCGUCAGUAGUUAAGUAUGUUAAAGCCCAUGAAGACAGAGGAGGGCUCAAGACCCAUGGUCGGUUCAAGGCCUGUAGCCGUAAACCGGCGUUAGUAGUUAACUUGUAUUGUAAGUUAGGAAUAAGUAGAGACCAAACCGGACACAUCUAUGAGUCGGUAUUGGGACUCCAUAAGCCGAAGGGAGUCACCCGUGUAUAUAAGGGGACGACCCGGUGGCGGUUCAAAGAUAACAGACAACAACUCGAGACGUAGGCGAAGCUUGUUUGCUCCCUAGUCAUCGAAACCCCCAUCAAUUCCAUCACAACUAGAUGUAGGCUUUUACCUUCAUCGAAGGGGCCAAACUAGUAUAAACUCUCUUGCGUCCCUGUGUCCGCUUUAAGCCCUUCAAGCUAACCCGUCGCGAUGGCUCCACGACUAAGUCCUUCCUCUAGGACAUCUGCCGUGACAAAACCACGACACUCACCAAGCGUCGCGCCCCUGAAGGUAGCACCUCCCAGUGCCAGCCCGGCGGAGCCCAGUCCCGGACAUGGGUCCUAUGAAGCAGGAUGUCGUCGCGAAUGGGUCGAUGGCGAGGAUGCGGGCCGGGCAUCGUCGACAACAAAUAGGGUAUGCAAAUGUAACACUAAUUAUGCUAUCAUUGCAUAUGUCAAAAUUCUAUAUGCUAUUUCAUACUAAUUAAGCAUCCUACACUAAAAAUGGAAAAAAACAACUUCUAUACAUCCAUUAAAAAACAGAAAAACAACAUUAUAUAAAAAAAAUUCCAUACUAAUUAAACACCAAUUAUAUCCAUCUAACAUGCAUUCAUACAUAUAUACUAGUGAAAAAAUAAUAAUCUAAAAAAACUAAACUAAUUAAACAUACAAAAUACGCAUAUACUAAUUAACUUAAGGAAAUGUGUGUGUGUGUGUGUGUGUUCAUCAUGCUUGUGUGUGUAUGGGCUUGGGGAGGGGCGGCGCCCAUGGUGGCCGCCGGGGGCGAGGGAGAAGGGUUAGAGGGGGAGAGCUCACAGCGGGGCGAUGGCGACGGCGAGGCGACGACCGGGGGCGGCGACGGGCCAGGGCGUGACAGGGGCGGCGNNNNNNNNNNNNNNNNNNNNNNNNNNNNNNNNNNNNNNNNNNNNNNNNNNNNNNNNNNNNNNNNNNNNNNNNNNNNNNNNNNNNNNNNNNNNNNNNNNNNNNNNNNNNNNNNNNNNNNNNNNNNNNNNNNNNNNNNNNNNNNNNNNNNNNNNNNNNNNNNNNNNNNNNNNNNNNNNNNNNNNNNNNNNNNNNNNNNNNNNNNNNNNNNNNNNNNNNNNNNNNNNNNNNNNNNNNNNNNNNNNNNNNNNNNNNNNNNNNNNNNNNNNNNNNNNNNNNNNNNNNNNNNNNNNNNNNNNNNNNNNNNNNNNNNNNNNNNNGACACGGGGAUGGGCCCGAGGCGGCGAUGGAGACGAGGGCGGCGAUGGGGAUGGGGGCGGCGACGGGGAUGAGGGCGGCGACGGGGAUGGGGGCGGCGAUGGCAACGACACGCGACGGGGGCGGCGAAGGGGACGGGGGCGGCGACGGCGUCGAUCGAUCGGGGCGGGCGCUGCUUCAAUGGGGAAACAGAGGAAGAAAUAGAGGGGGAAUGAAUUUUUUUGAAGUGAUGUAUAUAUAGAAGGGACCUUUAGUACCGGUUGGAUCCACCAACCUGUACUAAAGGCCUGUUUUGGCCAGGCCAAGCGGCGGGAAGGGCAGGCCUUUAGUAUCGGGUGGUGGCUCCAACCGGUACUAAAGACCCCCCCUUUAGUACCGGUUGAUGCCACGACCCGGUACUAAAGGGGGUGCGCUGCCAGGCGAGGGGCGCAGAAGUAUAGUCCCACCUCGCUAGCCGAAGGGCAUUCGCACCUGCUUAUAAGCCCCGCCGCCGCUGUUGUCUUGAGCUCCUCUCUAAAGCAGGCCUUCUGGGCCUACCUCUGCUACUCUUCCCUGUGGGGCGUAUUGGGUUUGCGUGCCUGCAUCCUGGCCCAACAACAUGUUGGGUUUCUAGUCGUAUGCAGGCCGCUGUGGCCCGGUAGGUGGGUUUUUUCAUUUAGUUUUUUCUUUUCUGCUUUAUUUAUUUUGUUUUAUUUAUUUUUAGUUGUUUUUUGCUGUAUAUAGAGUUUCUUUGUGAAUAUUUUUGAUAGUUUUUAGAAACUUUCAGUUAGUGCCGGUAGUUUUUAAAUUUGAAUAGUAUAAAUUUUGAAUUAUUUGAAAGUUGUGUGAAUCACUAGUUCGUGAAUAACUUAACUUUAAAAAUACAUUUUUCAGUGAUUCUUUUUUAUUAUGUUUAAUAUUAGUGUGUUUUAUCAUUAUAUUCAAUUUGGUACUGCUUAGGUUAUUUAAAAAAUGAAAUGCCCUUUUUGCUGAAAAAAUUAGUAAAGGCAUGAAAGAGUUUGUUUGCACAUAAAAUUUCUUUGCUUCAAAUGUCAAAACACAUAACUACCCUAACUAUUACAGAGAUUCCCUCCUUGGUGUGAUACACAGAAGAAAGUGAUGAUAGUGAAGUUGAUCACAUCCAAGAUCUUUGGGUGUGAAAGUUUUUCUUCGCGUGUGUCCCUUUGCGCCGUAACCAUGGAAAAUCUUCAUCAUUUAACGGGAUGCUCGGGUCAAUAUUCACUGUGAAUGGAGCAAUUUCAUCAAACUUUUCAUAAUCUUCUGACAUGUCAUUCUUGUCAUCCACUCCCACGAUGUUUCUCGUCCCAGAAAGAACUAUGUGCCGCUUUGGCUCAUCGUACGAUGCAUUCACUUCCUUAUCUUUUCUUUUUCUUGGGUUGGUAGACAUGUCCUUCACAUAGAAAACCUGUGCCACAUCAUUGGCUAGGACGAAUGGUUCGUCUGCAUACACAAGAUUGCUGAGAUCCACUGUUGUCAUUCCGUACUGCAGGUCUUCCGUUACCCCGUCUCGUGUCAUAUUGACCCAUUUGCACCGAAACAAAGGGACCUUCAAACCACGUCGAUAGUCAAGUUCCCAUAUGUCCUGUAUAUAACCAUAAUAUGUUUCCUUUCCCGUCUUGGUUUCUGCAUCAAAGCGGACACCACUAUUUUGGUUGGUGCUCUCCUUAUCUUGGGCGAUCGUGUAAAAUGUAUUACCAUUUAUCUCGUACCCUUUGAAAGUCAUUAUAUUCGAAGAUGGUAACUGGGACAACAAGUACAGGUCAUCUUCAAUAGAGGCGUCAUGCAUGGUACAUGUCUGCAACCAGCUGGCGAAACUCCUGGUUUGUUCACGUUCAAUCCAGUCAUCAGACCGCUCCGAGUGUUUGGAGCGUAGCAAAUUCUUGUGUUCAUCCAUAUACGGAGCAACCAAGGCGGAAUUCUGUAGAACUGUGUAGUGUGCUUCAGUGAGAGAAUGUCCGCCCAUACAUAUUAUUUGUUCCCCUCCUAGCGUGCCUUUUCCAUCCAGUCUGCCCUUAUGCCGCAAUUCAGGAACACCAAUCGGCUUAAGGUUAGGAAUAAAGUCAAUACAAAACUCAAUGACCUCCUCAUUUUCAUGACCCUUGGAGAUGCUUCCUUCUGGCCUAGCACAGUUAUGAACAUAUUUCUUUAAGACUCCCAUGAACCUCUCAAAGGGGAACAUAUUGUGUAGAAAUACAGGACCCAAAACGUUAAUCUCUUUGCAUAGGUGAACUAGGACGUGCAUCAUGAUGUUGAAGAAGGAUGGUGGGAACACCAACUCGAAACUGACAAGACAUUGCACCAAAUCAUUCUCUAACCUUGGUAUGAUUUCUGGAUCGAUUACCUUCUGAGAGAUUGCAUUGAGGAGUGCACAUAGCUUCACAGUGGCUAAUCGAACAUUUUCCGGUAAAAGCCCCCUCAAUGCAACCGGAAGCAAUUGCAUCAUAAUCAUGUGGCAGUCAUGAGACUUUAGGUUCUGGAAC